RNAcentral lists this long non-coding RNA (53967 nucleotides) under Medicago truncatula (barrel medic). Its description in RNAcentral is "long non-coding RNA (MTRU_LNC004421)". Lineage: Eukaryota; Viridiplantae; Streptophyta; Magnoliopsida; Fabales; Fabaceae. The record is from RNAcentral.
UUCUUACUUCCUUUUUAUUCUCUAUUCUCAUGGCUAUGCUUCAAUCAUCCGUCUCCUCAUCCUCUUCCUUCUCCUAUGGAUUCACCUAUGACGCGUUCCUUAGCUUUAGAGGUGGUGACACUCGUUAUGGUUUUACUGGAAAUCUCAAUAGAGCUCUUUGUGACAAGGGAAUCCGAACCUUCAUGGAUGACAGAGAGCUUCAAGGAGGUGAAGAAAUAACAUCAUCACUUUUCAAGGCCAUUGAAGAGUCUAGGAUUUUCAUUCCCGUCUUGUCUAUCAAUUAUGCUUCUUCUUCAUUUUGCUUGGACGAACUUGUCCACAUCAUUCACUGCUUCAAGGAAAGCGGGCGUCUAGUUUUGCCAAUUUUCUAUGAUGUGGAACCUUCUCACGUGCGACAUCACAAGGGCAGUUAUGGUAAAGCACUGGAUGAUCAUAUAGAGAGGUUCCAAAAUAACAAGCAUAGCAUGGAUAGGUUGCAGAAAUGGAAGAUUGCUCUUACUCAAACUGCUAACUUCUCUGGCCACCAAAUCAAUCCUAGGUACCGUAGUGCACUCAUGUUUUACAUUCAAACAUAGGUGAUAUUUCUUGAAUGUUCUAUUUUCGAACUGUUUUAUCUUAUAGUUGAAAUAGGUAAUAUUAAUUUUAUUCUUAACAAGUGUAAGGUACUUGUAUGUCAAAUCAAUAUUUGAAUUGUAUUAUACAACUAUUAUUAAAAAUUGAUGUGGUUGAGCAUUUAUGAUGUAUUUUGCUCAAACUUAUUUGAUUGGGUAGGAAUGGAUAUGAAUAUGAGUUUAUCGAAAAGAUAGUCAAAUACGUUUCCAAAAAGAUCAAUUGUGUUCCUUUAUAUGUUGCCGAUUACUAUGUUGGUCUCGAGUCUAGGGUCCUAAAAGUAAAUUCAUUUCUGGAUGUCGGAUCUAAUGGUGAAGUUCAGAUGCUAGGGAUCUAUGGGACUGGAGGAAUGGGAAAGACGACGCUUGCAAGAGCAGUUUAUAAUUCCAUAGCUGAUCAAUUUGAUGGUUUGUGUUUUCUUAACGACAUAAGGGCAAAUUCAGCUAAAUAUGGUUUAGAGCAUCUACAGGAAAAUCUCCUUUCCAAAUUAGCUGAAUUGGACGUUAAGUUAGGAGAUGUCAACGAGGGAACUCCAAUCAUAAAAGCAAAGGCUUCACCGAAAGAAGGUUCUAUUGAUUCUAGAUGAUGUUCACGAACUGAAGCAAUUGCAGGUUUUGGCUGGAGGAAUUGAUUGGUUUGGUCCUGGUAGUAAAGUGAUCAUUACCACUCGAGACGAACAAUUGCUAGUAGGUCAUGGGAUUGAAAGAGCAUAUGAAAUAGAUAAGUUAAAUGAGAAAGAAGCUCUUGAAUUGUUGAGGUGGUCUGCUUUCAAAAUUAACAAAGUUGAUGCGAAUUUUGACGUCAUUUUACACCAAGCAGUAACUUUUGCAUCAGUCCUUCCAUUGGCUUUAGAAGUAGUGGGUUCCAACUUGUUUGGAAAGAAUAUGAGAGAAUCGAAAUCUGCAUUAACAAGGAUUCCCAUGAAAAAGAUCCAAGAGAUACUUAAAGUUAGCUAUGAUGCUCUGGAGGAUGAUGAGCAGAAUGUUUUUCUGGACAUUUCUUGUUUCUUAAAAGGAUAUGAUUUGAAAGAAGUUGAAGAUAUAUUUCAUGCUCAUUAUGGUAGCUGCAUGAAACAUCAAAUUAGACAGAUUCACCCGCAAUCUGUACACAGGUUUGAGUCACAAAGGAAUCCACACCUUUAUCAAUGAGGAUAAGGAAUCUACUUUGAAGGCCGUCCAAGAAUCUAGGACUUCCAUUAUCAUCUUCCCUGAGAAUGCUGGUUCAGAAUCCUUAGGCCUUUCCUAUCUUCUAAAAAUAGGAAUGCACACCUUUAUUUCCCCUGUUUUUAUCAACACUGAUAAUUCUCAAGUGCACACGAAUGUUACCAGUUGUUAUUAUCCAGACCAGUCUGACCCAAAUAUGCGCCCGUUUGAGUUGCAUUUUUAUCUAAGAUGGAGUUUUGAUUUAGAUAAAGUAGCUAAAUUGCCCGACUGGUAUUUCAAAGAUUGGUACCUUCCUGACCACUAACAUUGUUACCUUUUAUUUAUUUAUUUUAAUUUUAGUACAAGAACAAAAAAAUGAUCCGUAAACAACUCUUUAAAGAUUCUUCUUUGCGUGGGUUUUGUAUUUUGAAAAGAAUGCCUGCUUUCUUCUUGAAUUGUAUUGUAAUAAUAAGAUAUAUACGAAAUCCUUGACAUAAAUACAUAUAGUUUGACCUAACCUCUCUGGUUUGGCAGCGUAGGGAAUGAAUUUGAGUUAAUCAACAAGAUUGUUGAAGAUGUCUCGAGGAUACUUAAUGGUGUUCCUUCUUUACACGCUGCAGUAAGAAAUGAAAAACCAAAAUUCUAAACCUUUGGGCACUUUUUUUUUUUCUUUCUUAUUUUCUUCUUUACAUGCAAUCAUCUGAAAGCAUCUUCUAAACAAAAACAAUUAUUCAAAUCUUUUUGAAGAAAUAAACCUGACUGAAAUUACCUGUUCUUGUUAUCGUGCAGGUUUCCGAUGUUUCUCAGACUCGCAGAGUUGUUCAAGUUAUAAUGUUGAUCUCACUUAGGGUGUUUCAAGCCGAGACGACUUGGAGAGUAAUUGGUUUUAUGUCAUGUAUUGUUGGCUUGUUAUGUUAUGCUCUAAGCCCUUCUUUCAAUCGAUUAUUUGGAAGGUGGAAUCCUUUCAAGGUCUUUCUCUAUGUAGCGUUGUCCUUAGCCAUCUUAACCACCAUAUUAGUUGUAAAGCAGGCAUCACCUUCCACGCGCCAUGUUCAACUAAAAAACACUUGCAUAACCUUUGUGGUUUUGAUGAUUAUCUCAGUGUACUCAUUCUUCUAUGACGAAGCUGUGAAUGGAAAACCUAACAUACUGAGUGUAAUUUCAAAUGCUGCAUUUGCUUUUGUAUCAGUAAGCUUGCACAGACUGCUUAAGUUUGGGGUUGAGAUGGGUGUGUUCUCUUAUUUUGUAGGUUGCUUUACAAUUCAACUGUUAACCAUCAACUGGGUGUUGAACUUUUUUGCCAUAAUCUUCGGUUUUCUGCUCUUUCUUCUUCAUUCUACUAUGAAUCCCCAACCCAAUGUGGCUAGUGAACGUCAAGAUAAUCAAGUUUGAGAAGGGUUGGUAGUGGUCGGUGGUCAACAUGUUGGAAUUGAAUCGUGAAGCAAGUUUAAGAAAUUAGCAUUGUAGGGUAAUUUGGCUUUUUUAUCUACAUAUGUCCAAUAAUAGUUUGGUUGGCAAUGAAUCGUGUCAACUUGAACAUUUGGAACUUGGCUCAACAAUUAAUUCGUGAACUUUAUUUAUGAAUUCUGUGAACUUUGUUUAUGAACCCAAUUGAGUUGAAUUUGAGGAUGUUGUGAAUCCGGUUUCAAACAAACCUUCACACCAAUGAAAUAAACCAAUGAUGUGUGGAGCAAGUGAUAGUGAUAAUCAAUGAGAACAAAAAUGGUCUCCAAGCAAACAACAACAAAACAGCCCUAGACUAGUGUAUAGCAAAACCACACAAGAGAUUCCAAAGCAUAAACAAGAUAAGCGGUAAAAAGAAAGAACAAAACACCGAGAAGAUUGUUGACCCAGUUCAGCCAAUAUGGCCUAAUCUGGGGGAGAGAGCAGCUCUCCAAUCUAAUAUGAGAAAGUGUUACAAAAGGUUACAACACUCUAGCCUUCAAGCUUUACACAUGAACAAACCCUAGAUUCUACCCUUUGGUAUUUUCCCACUCUCACACUAUGAACCCUAAAACCCAAGGUGAUUACUAUGUUUUUUUCCCAAACCCAAGAGACACUCUCAACAAAGACCCUCAACCCAUUUGUUCUUUUCUUUCAUUUCAUUCAAAAAUUAUUUUUACUUUUCUGUCUUAUGUAGAAUUUUUCUACGUGUAAAAUAAUUAUUAAGUCGAAAAAUUUCUAACCAUUUACCCAUUCACUAAACGUAAUUAAGCACAAGUGAACUAACCAUUUAAAUUGAUAUACUGAAAUUUGAUGUUGAAUUUGUGUGUUAAAAUAGCACAACUCAUUAAAAUCUUAAGUUGAAUCGGUGAAAUGUUGAAGUUGUUAAGUGUCUUCGUUGAUUUGUCCUGUCUUUUCUUUUGUAUUUGGUAGAUAGGAAAUGGGAAGGAAGUUUAACUCACGAUGGUCUUUGGUCAAUGGAUCCUCUUAAGUUUCACUUCUUGAUUUAUUUUGAAACCCUAUAUAUACACUCAUCCACAUUCUUACUUCUCAUACUAUUCUUACUUCCUUUUUAUUCUCUAUUCUCAUGGCUAUGCUUCAAUCAUCCGUCUCCUCAUCCUCUUCCUUCUCCUAUGGAUUCACCUAUGACGUGUUCCUUAGCUUUAGAGGUAGUGACACUCGUUAUCGUUUUACUGGAAAUCUCAAUAGAGCUCUUUGUGACAAGGGAAUCCGAACCUUCAUGGAUGACAGAGAGCUUCAAGGAGGUGAAGAAAUAACAUCAUCACUUUUCAAGGCCAUUGAAGAGUCUAGGAUUUUCAUUCCCGUCUUGUCUAUCAAUUAUGCUUCUUCUUCAUUUUGCUUGGACGAACUUGUCCACAUCAUUAACUGCUUCAAGGAAAGCGGGCGUCUAGUUUUGCCAAUUUUCUAUGAUGUGGAACCUUCUCACGUGCGACAUCACACGGGCAGUUAUGGUAAAGCACUGGAUGAUCAUAUAAAGAAGUUCCAAAAUAACAAGGAUAGCAUGGAGAGGUUGCAGAAAUGGAAGAGUGCUCUUACUCAAACUGCUAACUUCUCUGGCCACCAUUUCAAUCCUGCUGGGUACCCCACUUCACUCAUGUUUUACAUUCUUACAUAUGUCAUAUCUCUUUAAUAUUCUAUUAUCUUACUGUUUCAUCUUACGGUUUAAAUAGAAUAUAUUCUUUUUAUUCUUAACAAGUGUAAGUUACUUGUAUGUCCGUUUUAUUCUUACAUAUGUCGAACAAUAUUUGAAUUGUAUUUAUACAACUAUUAUUAAUAAAUUGAUGUGGCUGUGAAUUUGUGAUGCACUUAAUCAAACUUAUUUUAUUGGGUAGGAAUGGCUAUGAACACGAGUUUAUUGAGAAGAUAGUCAAAUAUGUAUCUAACAAGAUCAAUCAUGUUCCUUUAUAUGUUGCUGAUUUCCCUGUUGGUAUCGAGUCUAGGGUUCUAAAAGUAAAUUCACUUAUGGAUUUUGGAUCUAAUGGUGAAGUUCAGAUGCUAGGGAUCUAUGGGCCUGGAGGAAUGGGAAAGACGACACUUGCAAGAGCAGUUUAUAAUUCCCUAGCUGAUCAAUUUGAUGAUUUGUGUUUUCUUCACGAUGUAAGGGGAAAUUCAGCUAAAUAUGGUUUGGAGCAUCUGCAGGGAAAGCUCCUUUCUAAAUUAGUCAAACUGGACAUUAAGUUAGGAGAUGUCUACGAGGGAAUUCCAAUCAUAGAGAAAAGGCUUCACCAAAAGAAGGUUUUGUUGAUUCUCGAUGAUGUUCACGAACUAAAGCCAGUUGGAAGUUUUGGCUGGAGGAUUUCGUUGGUUUGGUCCUGGUAGUAUUGUGAUCAUUACCACUCGAGACAAACAAUUGCUAGCUCAUCAUGGGAUUGAAAGAGCAUAUAAAUUACAUAAGUUAAAUGAGAAAGAAGCUCUUGAAUUGUUGACGUGGAAGGCUUUAAAAAAUAACAAAGUUGAUACAAAUUUCGACAGCGUUUUACACCAUGCAGUAACUUAUGCUUCUGGCCUUCCAUUGGCUUUAGAAGUAGUGGGUUCCAACUUGUUUGGAAAGAAUAUAGGAGAAUGGAAAUCUGCAUUAAAUCAGUAUGAAAGGAUUCCCGAUAAAAAGAUCCAAGAGAUACUCAAAGUAAGCUUUGAUGCUUUGGGGGAAGCAGAACAAAAUGUUUUUCUCGACAUCGCUUGCUGCUUCAAAGGAUAUGAAUUGAAAGAACUUGAAGAUGUACUUCAUGCUCAUUAUGGUAACUGCAUGAAAUAUCAAAUCAGAGUGUUGCUCGAUAAAUCUCUCCUAAAUAUCAAGCAGUGCCAAUGGAGUCUUACUGAUGUUGUGACGUUACAUGCCUUGAUAGAGAAAAUGGGUAAAGAAAUUGUCCGGAAAGAGUCUCCAAAAGAGCCUGGAAGACGUAGUAGGUUGUGGUUCCAUAAAGACAUAAUUGAUGUCUUAGAAGCAAAUAAGGUGAAUAAUACUGAUAUCCAUGAAUGGUCUUUUUGUUAUAUUUAAUCUUUACUUUGUUCUUUUUUACUUAUCCUAUUAAUAUCAAUUUGUAAUCUAUGUUUAUUUAUUAUCGUUUGGUUGAUCUCUGUUUCUUUUUUGCUUUUUUAAGGGAUCAAGUGAAAUUGAAAUUAUAUAUUUGGAAUGCUCGUCAUCUGAGAAAGUGGUAGUAGAUUGGAAGGGAGAUGAACUGGAGAAGAUGCAAAAGCUCAAAACACUUAUUGUUAAGAAUGGUACCUUUUCCAAUGGUCCAAAAUAUCUUCCAAACAGUUUGAGAGUAUUGGAAUGGCAAAAAUAUCCUUCACGGGUCAUACCAUCUGAUUUUUCCCAAAGAAACUUUCUAUAUGCAAACUACAGCAAAGUGACUUUACAUCAUUUGAGUUGCGUGGCACAAUGAAGGUAUGUGUAAAUGUAAUGAUUUUUUUUCCCUGAGCAUGGAUUAAGUGGUAGCAGCCCAGGGAACUAUAUUUUCAUUGGUACCAAAAUUCUCAUUAUAUAUAUAUAUAUAUAUUAAAGGAGACUUUUAUUUAUAUUAUUUAAAUUAAAUUAAAUAUUUGCUAACAAAAUUAUAGGAGCAUUACGAAAUUAACACUCAUAAAAUAUCAAAUAAAAUUAAUUAAUUACAUUCACAAUUAGGGAACUAAAAUUAGAAUAACGAUAUAGAGUUUGAAUAAUUUAAGAGUAUUUUUAACUACUUUAUAUUAACACUCAUGAGUCAUAUUAUUUUAUCCAGUUUAUUCUUGAUCCCAAUUAUGUUAGAGCAACUUCAAUGGGGGUUCCUUACUUAAAAAGGAUCACUUCCUACCAAUCCCUCGUAAAGACCUCCCAUGGAAGGAAGGAAAAAAUAGUAUCUAUUAAGUAACAGACAGCUAUAUAAGAAUCAUCUCUCUCUUGAGCAACUAACGGGUCUCAUGCUUAAAAGAAGUAAUAAAAUAUGUACAAGUUGGUUCACUUUCAAAAGAAGUAAUAUUUUAUGUGGUAAUUUAUAAUUGGGUUAAUAUGUUUUUACCCCCCUGUAAUUUGGGCGAGUUCUGGUUUUCCCCCCUGUAAAAAAAAAGUUUAGAUUCCAACCCUGUAAAAUAAGACUAUUUCGUUUUAGCCCCUGACCCAUGUGACUGUGCAUAAUUGCUGACGUGGCAAGCUAAGUGGCAUGCUGACUGUGCAUAUCUGAUUAUGUGGCGUGCUGACUGUAUAAUUAAUUUUUUUAAUUUAUUUAAAAUAUAUAUAUAUAUAUAAAUUAAAAAAAAAUCAGGAUUUUUUUUAUUACAAAAAAUAUUUUCUGAAAUAUAUAUUUUUCGAAAAUUCCAAAAUUUAUAAUUUAAGAAAAAUAUAUAUUUCCAAAUUUUUUAAAAUUAUUUUCGAAAAAAAUUCAAAUUAUUUUCGAAAAUUUGGAAUAUAUAUUUUUUGAAGUUUAAAACAGAUUUUUAUUCGAAAAAGAAGUUUUUUAAAUUUUCUCAAAAAAAAAAAAAAUCUGGAUACAAAUUUAUUUAAAAAUUUAGGAAAAUUUAGAUUUUUUUUUAGAAAUUUUUAUUACAAUGUGUUACAGAUUUGAGAAUAUUUUUUAAUAUUUAAAAAUGGAGGAUAAAAAAAAUCUGGAAAUUUUUUUAAUAUUUAAAUUUAUUCUUAUCUAUUUGUUACAUGUGUUAUUUGUAUUAAAAAUUGUGGGCAUUUUUUAAAAGAAACAACCAGCCCUAAAGCUGAAAGGGGUUGUUUUCUUUAUAUAUAUAUUUCCAAAAAUAUUAUAUAAAAAAAUUCAUACACUUACUAUAUUUUGAAACUUUCGAAAAAUUUAAAAAAAAUAAAAAUUAAAUAAAAAAUUUAAAAAUAUUCGAAAAAAAUCCAAAUUAAUAUUUUUUUCUUAAAUUUUUUAUUUUUUGAAAUUAAACCAUUACACACAUGUCAGAUUUAAAAAAAAUUAAAAUUAAAAUAAUUACACAGUGGCGUGCCACGUCAGUGUCAAUUACACACGUGUCAUAUUUUUUUAAAAAUAAAAAUUAAAGUAAUUACACAGUGGCGUGCCACAUCAGCGUCUGGAUGGGGUCAGUGGUGUUUUGUGGAGAAUCUUCAUAUUACAGGGGUGUUUUGUGGAGAAUCUUUAUAUUAUAGGGUUGGAAUCUAAACUUUUUUUUUUACAGGGGGGUAAACUGGAACUCGCCCAAAUUACAGGGGGGUAAAAACAUAUUAACCCUUUAUAAUUUUAUAAAUAAACAUGAGACCCUUGGGGCAUGGAUCUUAGCUUGGAGCCACUUGGUUCAAAUUUCAAAGAUCCAACUUUUUUUUUUCUUUUUUGGAUUAAUCAUGUUUUACCCCCUGUAAUAUAGACCAUUUCAGGGUUUGCCCCAUGUAAAUUUUGUUUUUUCGUUUUGGUCCUUGUAAUUUUUUUUGUUUUGUUUCUGAAUACACCCUAGGCCAUAUGAAUCUGCAUUUUUGCUGAUGUGGCACGCUGAGUCACCUUUUUUAGUGAUGUGGUACGUUGACUGUAUAAUUCAUUUUGCUUUUAUGUUUUUGUGGACCCACGUGGCAUUUGUGCCUUUUAAAAAAAAUAAUAAAUAUAAAAUCAUUUAUAUUAAUUUAGAAAUAUGGAAAAUUAUUUUUCAAAAAUCAAAAAAAUUUAUUCAUUUUUUCAAAAUUACAAAGAGAUUUUUUUUUUUAAAAAAAAUUCACCAACUUAAUAUAAUUCACAAUUUUUGAAAAAAUUAUUAAAAAAUAUAAUACUAUAUAUAUAUAUUUUUAAUUUGAAAAUUAAUUCCCAGAGUUUUAUUUUAUUUUUCUAAAAUCUUCAUAAUUUCGUAAAAAUGAUAUGAUUUUUUUCUUUUCUAAUUUUUUAGUUUCGAAAUAGAUUUUAGAUAAUAAUUUCGGAAUAAAAUUUUAGAAAAAAAGACUGAAUUUUUUCUAUUGAAAUUCUGGAUAAAAAUUAUCUCUUUUUUUUUAUGUUUAAAAAAAAUAUUAUCUAAAUUCUGAAAAAAUAUUUUCAAUUUUUAUUUUAAAAAAAUUCAGGAAAAUUAUUUUCAAUUUGUGUGAAUUUUAAUUUUUUAUUUUCAAGAAAUAUUAUCUAAUUCCGCCAAAAAAAGAAAUAUUAUCUAAUGUUUUGUUCUUUUAAUUAUGAAAAAUAUUUCCCAAAUUUUUGUUUAAAAAAUAAAAAAGCAAUCUUUUUAAUUUCGAAAGAAAAAUCUAAACUUUUUUUUUUUAAUUUCAAUUUUGUUUUUCUAAUUUUUCGAAAUAUAUUUUCUAAUUUCUUUAAAAUAUUUCGAAAUAUAUUAUGUUCUACAAUUUUGCUUUAUAAAAUAAAACUUCUUAUUUUCGGAAAAAAAUAUGAAUUUUUUUCUAUUUUUUUAUUUUUGAAAAUUAAUUUCCAAAUUUUAAUUUUUUUUUUAAGUUGUGAAUUAAUUCCUUUUCUUUGGCCUGAUAUUUUGCAGAGGUUUGUGAAUAUGAGAGAGUUAAAUCUAGACAAUUGUCAAUUUUUAACACGGAUACAUGACGUCUCCAACCUCUCAAAUUUAGAAAUAUUUUCAUUUCAACAGUGUAAGAAUUUAAUUGAAAUUCACAAAUCUGUUGGGUUCCUAAAUAAACUUGAAGUCUUGAACGCUGAAGGUUGCAGCAAGCUUAUGAGUUUUCCACCUCUGAAGUUGACCUCUCUUGACGAACUAAGGCUUUCAGAUUGUAAGAAUCUUAACAAUUUUCCAGAAAUAUUAGGAGAGAUGAAUAAUAUAAAAAGAAUUUGUUGGGAAAACACUUCCAUUAAAGAAGUGCCAGUUUCAUUUCAAAAUCUCACGAAGCUUCUUUACUUAACUAUAAAAGGAAAAGGAAUGGUUAGGUUGCCAAGUAGCAUUUUUAGGAUGCCAAAUCUGUCAGACAUUACAGCUGAAGGUUGCAUAUUUCCCAAACUGGAUGAUAAAUUGAGUUCCAUGCUGACUACAAGCCCCAAUCGCCUAUGGUGUAUUACACUGAAAAGUUGCAACUUGUCAGAUGAAUUUCUUCCAAUAUUUGUCAUGUGGUCUGCUUACGUGAGAAUCUUAGACCUAUCAGGAAAUAAUUUCACAAUUCUUCCAGAAUGCAUCAAAGAUUGUCACCUUUUAUCGGAUCUUAUAUUGGAUGAUUGCAAGUGCCUUAGAGAAAUUAGAGGGAUUCCACUAAAUUUAACAAACUUGUCUGCAGCAAACUGCAAAUCAUUGACUUCCUCGUGUAGAAACAUGCUAUUGAAUCAGGUUUUGUUUUAUUCUUUUGUUUUCCUUGUAUUUCACUUAAUAUUAUAUUGUUUACUCUAUAUAUGAUUUAUUAAUGGCUAACAGGAUCUUCAUGAGGCUGGAGGAAAAGAAUUUUAUUUGCCAGGAUUUGCAAGGAUUCCAGAGUGGUUUGAUCACCGAAACAUGGGACAUAAAUUUUCUUUUUGGUUUCGUAACAAGCUCCCUUCCUUUGCUAUCUGUUUUUCUACUAAAUCAGUUGCUACUGCAGCCUGGAAUGAUAUUAAUAUACUCCCCACUCUGAUCAUCAAUGGCAACAAAUUUCGUCGAAAUCGUCAUGGUCGGGCUUAUAUAAUGUCGACUCAUCAUACAUAUUUGGAUGAUAUGAUACGGGAAUUUGUAAGACGUGACUACAUGGACGAAAUAGGUUUAGAAAAUGAAUGGAAUCAUGCAGAGGUUACAUAUGAACAUCCGAGAGUGGAACCACUAACAGAAAUUGGAAUCCAUUUUUUCAAACAGAAAAAUAACAUGGAUGAUAUUCAAUUCACCGAUCCUUAUAAAAGGAUAAAAUUAAAUGAUAAUUAUAAUGAUGAUGAUGGUGAUGAUGUUUUUUAUGAUGUUGAUGAUGUUCUUGAUGAUGAUAAUGAUGGUGUCUUUGAUGAUGAUGAAGACGACCACCAUUCAGAAUAGUUCAGACCAAUCACUAGACCACUCAUUGGUGCAAAAGCAUAGAUAAAUAGAAUCAUUCAUUGGAUGAUAUUGUGAAUGAUUAACUCAAUAUGUAAUUUUAAUUGUGUGUACUUAUUUAUUAUGUUAAACAUUAUCAUUAUUAUUUAUGUUCUUCAAAAGAUUGCUCUCUCCACUGAGUUAUUAUCUGUUGCAUAAUAUGCAAUACUUCUGAAUUAUAGUUUUCAUUACAUACAUUGCUAUCCCUUGACGAUUGAGUAGAAAAAUGUAGUAUGAUAGUGUUACUUGUCAUCUCUAUGGUUAGCGCCAUUAGUGUUGUGUACUGAGAAGUUCACACAAUCCGAUUAAAUUGUCUUAUUUGAGGUUAUCUAAUGUAGGCUGGAAAUAUGAACAUUUGUAUGGCAGGAUCUGCAAUUACAUUACGCUAUUAAAUGUAAAAUGAAAUGCUUAUGCAAGAAGAAAAAAAACUUAUUUAGUAGCAUGCUCCUGCAAGAGGAAGUCAAUGAUUUGCAAUUUAAUGCAGACAAAUGUUUUAAACUAGGAUAUAAAUGCAAUUCAUAUAAAAAGAAAAUGUUAUUGUCUUCAUGGAAAUAAAAAUGACAUCCAUCAAUGUAUCAUUCAUUCUUGUCAUAAAGUUUGCAGAAAACAGGGGGCUCAUAUGCGUUUAAAAACAAAACUCCAAGAAGUAUAAUGAAAUUCAAAAUGGAUCUAGCCAAUUAAACAAAAUAUCUUCUGCAAUAGACGAUAUAGAAGAGGCAAACCUAGAAGAUUCAUGAAAAAGAUUCUUGUCAUAUUGUGAGAAUCUUAACACUUUUCCAGAAAUAUUAGGAGAGAUGAAUAAUAUAAAAAGAAUUGCUUGGGAGAACACUUCCAUUGAAAAAGUGCCAGUUUCAUUUCAAAAUCUCACGAAGCUUCUUUACUUAAUUAUAAAAUCUCCCCAUUAGUGUUGUGUACUGAGAAGUUCACACAAUCCGUUUGACCCGACUUUACCUAUUUUUCAAUUUUUUCUUCCAAAUUCAGUUGCUUCUACAUUGCCGUUGUAGGAGAUUAAGGUAUCGUUUGACCCGACUUUUUAUAUUUUUACAUUGCUAUCCGUCGACUUUUUAUAUUUUAACUAUUUUCCAAUUUUUUCUCCCAAAUUCAGUUGUUUCUACAUUGCCGUUGUGGGAGAUUAAGGUAUCGUUUGACCCGACUUUUUUCAAACUUCUCUACAUUUUUAAGGAGAAGUUAGGCCAAACACAAUAUCAAUUAAGUACUUACUAAAAAAAUAACUUUUUUUGAACGCAUAAAAUUGAAUAGAAUGAGCUUUGACUAGAAGUUGUUGAAUGUUACUUUAAAAAAUUACUUCUCGAUAAUUUAUUUCACAAACUCCUCUUUUCAACUCACGCUAGGAACCUUUUCUUUAUUUUUUUAAUAUUAUAUUUCAAUAUGUUUUUUUCUUCCAUUUAACUUUAUUUUUUUUCAACCGUUCCAUUUAAUUUUUUAAGGAGGUUCCAUUUAAUUUUAUCUUUUUUUCAAAGAAAUUUUAUUAUCUUUUUAUCACUUAUAUAUUUAAUUUCAAUAUCGUUUAAUCAUCAUAACCUCACAAAUAUUUUUAUUCACGCUGUCAUUUAAUGAUUCCAAAUAUUUUUAUUUCCUUUCUUCAACCUCGCGAAUAUACACACACACACAUUAACAUGUAGAGUAAUAUCUUAUGUCCGUCUGUCUGUUUUUUUUGUUACGCUAAUGCAUAUAAUUAUUUAGUGUUGCUUGGUUGAGUGCUACCUCACCAAUUUUUUUAACUAUUUUCCAAUUUUUAUAUUUUUAAAAACUUUUAGCUAUUUUACAAUUUUUUAUUUUUAACUAUUUUCCAAUUUUUUCUUCAGUUGCUUAUACAGUGCCUUUGUGGGCGAAUAAGAUACCGUUUGACCCGGUUUUUUUUUUCUUCAACUUCUCUAAAUUUUUAAGGAGAAGUUAGGCCAAAUACAAUAUCAAUUAAGUACUUACUAAAAAAUGUACUUUUUUAAUGCAUAAAAUUGAAUGGAAUGAGCUUUGGCCAAAAGUUGAUGAACGCUACUUCAAAAAACUACUUCUCGACAAUUUAUUUCACAAGUGUCUCUCUUCGAUUCACGUUGGGAACCUUUUCUUUUAUUUUAUAAUAUUAUAUUUCAAUACGUUUUUUUCUUUCAUUUAAUUUUUUUUUUGAACCGUUGCAUUUAAUUUUUUUUAAGGAGGUCCCAAUUAAUUUUAUUACCUUUUUUUCAAAGGAAUUUUAUUAUAUUUUUAUCAUUUAUAUAUUUAAUUUCAAUAUUGUUUAAUCAUCACAACCACAAAAUAUUUUUAUUCACACUGUCAUUUAAUGAUACCAAAUAUUUUUAUUUUCUUUCUUCAACCUCACAAAUACACACACUGCGUAUAAUUUUUUUUGGCGUUGCAUAAUGCGUAAGAUUAUUUUUAUAAAAUUUUGAUUUUAAUUAAAAGUAAAAUUGUAGAUGUCUUUUCUUUGAAAAAUAUAUAUAUGGCAUAUCAAAUGAGAUGAGUGUUAAGAGUAAAUUGGCUUUCUCCUUUUCCCUUAUCCCGUUCUCUCUCUAUUGCAUAAACCAUAAGUGACUGCUCUUUUUACCUCUUCUAUGUAUUGUUCUUCCUUGAUUUUUCUCUCUAUAGAAAGGAUCUCUUCGACGUUCUUCUGUUCCUUUCUUUCCUCUCCCUCAAUUUAGGUUCAAUAGAAAGAAAACAUAAUAAGAUUUUGUCAAAGAAAAGAAAGAUUAUGAUAGCUUUGGGAGACAAAUUCCAAUUAGUUAGAAUAAUUUCGUAGAAGACUAACAAAUAAUCACAAGCUGAUUUGUUUAAGAGUGAAAUUAUAGUUUAGUUCUACUAUUGUUCAAAUCCAACUUAAAUUAACCUUUUUUAAAAAAUUUAAUCAAUUGAUAAGAAACGGUCACGAAAAUGGAAAAUAGAAAAAAACAUUAAAUUGGGGUAUGUAUGAUUUAGGUGGCCAUAGAAAUCUUCUAACAAAAGCAGUAAGCAUUGCCAUCACCAACACUAGCUAAAGUGUUAUGUACAAGUUGCAUUGAGAAGCGUGUGCAGAGGAAAGAUGAAGAGUUGUGGUUUUUGUUUUAAUUGACAGCAUAGGGCUCCAAUUAUGAUGAUAUGUUUGAAUGUAUGAAGUUGUUGAUAAUUGAAUUGUUGUUAGUAAAAUUUCAUGUUCAUAGUAUGAGAAAAUGGUAUAUGAUGAAAUGUGCUCAAUUAGUUGAAUUAUGCCAUGAUGUUGUUGAAUUGUGAUGAGAUUUUAUGAUCAAUUGUUGUGGUUGUUGCUAAGUGAUGUUGUUGAUGAUAAUUCAUGGCUUGAGUUUGCAUAAUUAUGAUUUAUUGUUGAGAAAUGAGAUGUUGUUGGUAGUUUGAUAAAAAUUGGUGAAUUGGUCCAAAUGUCAAUUGUUUUCAUGUUUAUUGAGUCCUUGUGAGUCUUUUUAGUCAUAUUGACCUGUAAACAACAUCUAGAAACACAUUUGGGCAUUGAGGGAUCAAAAUUGAGAAUUUUGGGUGAAAAGGGGUUGAAACCCGUAACAUUGAGGGAUCAAAAUUGUUUUAGACUUUUGUCGAAACAAACUUAUGCAAAACUAAUGGAGCUUGCAAGUUGAACCUACAGCUCAUAUAGACUUAGGUAAGGCUUGUGAGAUUGGUUGAACAUCUUAAUCAUGUCAAAAAUGAUAUUUCGGGUGGGAAUGUGAAAGAUUGUGAAAUUGAGUUUUUCAUACGAACUUAAGCUAUUCUUUGGAUUAAUGUCUAAUAUUCCGUAAGUGGCUUAAGCUCAUGACUACAUGAUUGAUUAAGAUUGUUUGAGAACUUCCAACUUGUCUAUGUUGUUUUUGUCUUGGGAAUUAUCAAUUUUGGCCGUUUGCCACUUGAUACGGAUUUGUCGGAGAUGUUCUUUUAAGGCAACCAGAUUAUAAAUUAUCGUGACUAUUCUUAUAUGACUAAGUGAGGUUGUAUGAAUAAUUGAUUAUAUAUUGGACAUGAUGUUUAUCAUGGGUUGUUGUAUGAUCUCUUACUUAGGAUGUAAGAAAUGCUUGAAAAUGGUAAAACUAUAUGAAGUAGUUGAGGUUGAAUAAUAUUGUUGAUUAUUGAUAAUCAUGUUGAUGAUGUGAUUCUUAUUUGAAUUAUAACUUGAUUGUGUAUGGACAUGAUUUCUUGAUAAUGCAAUUGGUGUGGAGAUGAUCAAUAUAUUUGGAAGUUGUCCUCUAUAUUGUGGUGAAAAUUGUGGAGUGUUGUCGCAUUAUCGAGUCUUUGUUACAUGUCCAUGCAUCAUAGUCGUGUUGAGAUUUUAUAUGAUGUUUUUGUUGCAUCAUCGGGUUCCAGCCUAGCAGAGAUCAUUUAGUGAUCUAGUUUUGUGGACUUCGGUCUUGCAGAGAUCCAUUAGUGAUCUAGAUUGUAGGCGUCGGCCUUGUAGAGACCCUUGGCGGUCUAGAUAUAGGUGACGACCUUGAAGUGAAAUGGUACCACAUGCAUAUAAGUGUCGAACUAGGUGCACAUCAUGACAUGAGUCUUAUUGGUGAAAUGUGAUUGAUGAUUAUGCAUGAAUGUUAUCUCGAUUUUGGGGUAUCAAGUCAUUAAUUAGGCUUGAACCUUUCAAUCUUUGAUAUUCUCUAUUUUUUUCUUGGGAAGGGUAAAAUUGAGAAGAAAAAAAACCCUUAGAAACUCUAAGUUCGGGGGUCGUUUUCGUUACGGGAAGGUGUUAGGCACCCGCAACGACUAUAGUACUCUAUAGGAACCGUUUUUCUAAUUUUAUGUCUACGCUUUAUUUUUAAUGCUAUUUAUUAAAAAAGAGAAGUUGUUUAUGUUAAGAAUGGGGGGAGGAGUGUUUGGAUUUUUAUUUUAUUGGACUUGGAGAGGUUUUGACCUCUAGCCUACAUACCCUUUUAAGGGAUCAAAAUUCCAUGUAGUUCUCUUUCAAAAGUAUUUUUGGUGUGUUUGAUUGAUUUAAGUUUUGGAAAAUGGUUUUGAAGAAGAGAAAGAGGCCGUAAAGGCAUGAGAGAAGAAAAUGGUGAAUGGUUGGUUCAAUUAUUAAAAAAAAAGGUCUACGUUGGAAUUAGAGUUCAUUUGAGUUUGAUUAAGAAAAUAAAGGGAAAAUUCUAUGGAGCUUUGACUCCAAGGUUUAUUAGGAAAUUUUUUUCAAGUGAUGGAAUUUGCUUAUUUUGGAAAAUUGAUAUUUUUCUAAGUAUCGCGUUCCCUAAGCAUACAUCUAAGACAGUAAAUCAACAUACAACGUGUGUGCGUGUCGGUGCUUGUGUCGGUGUACAUCAUUAGAGUCCAUUGUCCGUUACAUUGGCCCUAGUUUACAUUCUAUGGUCUUGCAAGAAAUUAAAAAAAGAGAAAUUGAAACUACCUAAAUUUACAUGCCAACUUUAACAUAGAAAUGAAUAGUAAAAGACCUAAACUAUAAGAAAUGGGGAUGAAAUGAUAGAAUGCUUAUGGGGUGAAUGAAACAAGAAAUAAAAUGGUUAGUAGAAUAGGGUAUAAAAUAAUAGGACAAGUAAGCAAAGAAAUACGAGAUAAAUGGUAAAAACAACAACAAUAACCAAAAUGUAAAAAGUACACAUUACUUGUAACAAAAGAAAUUAACAAAUCACAUCAUAAACAGUAAAACAAUCACACAACCGGUAGCAUAUUCAACAUGAAAUUGCAUAUUAAUCACUCAUAUCAUGCACCAAGAUACCAUGAACACAAUGUGACAAGAAAUUCACAAGAAAUUCAAUUAAAAAGUGAAAAAACAUCAAGAACUAUCACAUACAUUUUUUUAUUAGUUUUUCAAUGUGUAAAAACACCACAAGAAAUACCAAAAAUGAAUUAAAGAACACAUAGGAAAUUUUUUAGAAUUUUUAAGAGAAAAAAUUGAACAAGCAGGGAUUCAAAUAGCAAGACAGCAAGGUGCAAAUAGCAAGAAACUAACAAGAAACAAAGGAAUAUGCGCAGAAGGAGGCCCAAGCCCAAAACCUAAGGCCUGGAUGCACAGGGAGCGUUGGAUUGAUCCAGGGAGGGAAACCCUAGAUCCAACGCUCAGGAUUGCAAGGAAUUGGACCGGUAUUGAACCGGUCCGGUCUAGGGGUCUAUAUAAGCAAGCUUACACCAGUUCAAUCACUUUGCUAUGUUCUUUCUCUCUCUUCUCUCAUCCUAGUGAGAGACGCUCUCGCCUCUCUCUUCCCUUCCUCCGUCGGUUUCUGGAUUGAGCGGCCGGAGAAGAUGAAGAUCUGGCCGGAACCUUCAUAGGUCCGCCGGAAUCUUCAUCCUCUCCGGCGAGAUCUCCAGUUUUCUGGCAACCUCUAAUCUCACCAGAAAUUUACGAAUCUUACAUCAAACUCUUCGUUUCUUCAUCCUAAACAUGAUUCUAACACUGGUUUUCACAAAUAAAGCUUAAAUCAAUGUAGAUCUAAAGAUCUUGCUACGGCUUUGAAAGUUUUUUUAGGUUUUUUAGUUUUUUGAAAGAAACUCUUUGAAACUUUGAAGAUCUACAUUGAUUCGUUCUUGUUAUUGUUCUUGAGAAAGGAAAAUGAAGAUUCAAGUGUUACCUGUGAUUUAAUCGGAGAUUUCGAACGAAAAUCUUCGGAAAACUUCGAUUUGAUUUUGUUUCGUUGAUUUCGUUCUUGAAUCCGAAAAUAAAUCGGUGUUCUGGCUGGUUCGAUUCCUUCUUCUUCUUCACCGGUUCAAAUUCUUCUUCUUUUCCUCUUCGUCUUCACUGAUUCUCUGUGAUCGGUGCUUGAGUUUGCCAAUGGCGAAUUCGCGCCUUGAAUUGCAGAGAAUCCAGUUCAAUGAUGAUGAUUCUUUGAAGAAUCGCUGAGAACUGAACGAAUUUAGUUGAAAUUGUUGAUGAAUUGUGAUUCUGGAAUUCUAGGGUUCAUGAAUGUUCUUCAUGUUCUUGAUAGUUUCUGAGUUUUUGAUCUAACUGAAUGGAGAGAGAAACUGUGCUUCUGUUUGUUGAGGUGGCGUGAAUUGUGUGGAUCCCUUUUGAUUUGUGCAGUGAAUGCACCUUUUAUAGGCUGCUAAGUGUGCUUGAGACCCAAUGGGAGAGGGACACCUGUUUUUGGACUUAGGGAACUCUCUGCAAAAAAGAAAAAUUGAAGGACUGGACUGUAAUUAAGAAAAUGGACUAAAAGGCAAUUUUUAAACUGUUUGGGAUUGAAAUGCAAUUUUAGAAACUGUUCAUGGACUAAAAUGCAAUUAAAAUAAAAUUGUACUAAAAUUGGUAAUUUGAAAAAAACGUAAAGUGAAACCAAAAAAUAAAAUCAACAAAAGGACUAAAAUGAACCAAUUACAAAAAUGAGGUAUUUCAAAAUACCUCUCUGUCGAAAUUUUGACAGGAAAAGACCAAAAUGCCCCUAGGGACUAAAAUGACUCAACCUGGCUCAGAUGCAAUUUUGAAAUGAUUUUAAACAAAGACCCAACAGUGUGUUACUUUAGUAAGAUAAGUAUAUAGCAAUUUUGUUACACAUGCACCACCAAAGAUAACUAACAUUAUAAUUAAAAUAUAUGUUUUGAAAAGUGGAUCCAGAGAGAAUCGAAGGAGGUUACAUAAAUUCAUAAGCUCCUUGUUAAGCCGGAGGGUAAGCUGAAAAUUUAGGCUUAUUGAAAAUGGCAUAAGCAGCAUAUGAAACUAUGAUAAGCUAUUUUUAUUUAUUUACCCAAACACCUUUAAAAAGGCUUAUGGAGUAGAUGAUAAGUCCACAUAAGCUCAAAAUAAGUCAAUCCAAACGGGACCUAUAUAUAAUUAUGAUGGUUUGGUUAUCAUUACUCUAAAAAAAUAAGGUAAUUUAUAUUUAAUUUCCUAUAUUUUUCUCAGUUUAAAUCUUUCCUCACUUCAACUUUUUUGAAUUAUAUUAAUACCUUAUUAACUAAAGUGAUGUUUAGAUUGUAAGUUUGUAUACCAAACCAUCAAGUAAAUAAAGAUGUCUUAAAACACUAUGAAAUAAAUAGAUUGACUAUUUGGGAUAUUAAGGAACAAACACACGCAUUAAAAUUAGGACUAAUAAGGUAUGUAGUCAAUUUUAAAAUGAACAAUUUUUUUACUUUUAUCUUGUGAUUACGUAGAUAAUGGAAAAAAGAAAAAUCAUGAGUGCGUUUAUGCUAAAACCUAAGCAUGAAUAUACAAUAUUGUUUAUAUCUUCUUUGUAGUUUUUUAUUAAUGUAAUGAAAAUAAUUAUGUUUUUCCGCUUGAAUAAUAGGUAAUGAAAAUAGUAGCAUCGAACUUCACUUUAGAAAAUAUUAAGUGAUAGGUUUAAUAAUAUGGGGUGGUUCUUAACUUUCCUUAGUACAUGUGUAGAAAAGCAUAAUUUUGAUGAGUAUUUUUAUGGCAUCUUGAAUUGUAUAAUAUAUGUGUUAUACCCUGUUUUUGGACCUAAAAAUACUGGGCCCAAUUUCAUUUUCAAACUUUGUCAAUUAUCAAAUUUCAACUGCACAGUUCAAAUUGUCUCUGCCUCGCAGUAUUUUCAAUCACAAUUUUACCUAUGUUUUUCUUGCAUAAAACCUUUCGAAAUGUCUUUACUUAUCUUGUAAGUCAUUCAAAAGUGUCUCUGAAUCAUUACAUUGCUUUUUCUACAGUUUAUUUCAAAAUUUGCAAAAAAAGUCAUACAGAAGGGUAUUUUGGUCAUUUCCUGCAGUGGGACCCAUUUUCAUCCUUGUGACUGUCUCUGAGUCUUUUCAAAUUCAUUUUUAACUUUCCAUCAGUAAACCUUGCUAAUUUCAUUUCAAACUUGCAUCUGAGUCAGUGUCGAGUCAUUUUGGCUCUGUUUAGGUCAUUUUUAGCCCUAGGGGCAUUUUGGUCAUUUCACAUAAAAUUUUGGCAUGGGGAGGUUACUUUGAAGUACCUCAUUUAAGCCAUUGGUUCGUUUUAGUCCGUUUUGUCAGUUUUAUUUUUUGUUUCACUUUACAUUGGGUCAAAAUUACAAAUUUUAAUUCAUUUUAUUUUUACUUUGCAUUUUAGUCCCUUAAUUUUGUUAAAAUUGCAUUUAAGUCCAAAUUGUCCAAUUUUUAUAUUUUGAGUUCUGUUUUUAAAAAAUUGCAGUCCAGUCCCAUAUUUUACAAAAUUGCAGGGAGGUCCUCAAAGUCAAAUUACAAGGCAGCGCCCAAGUCACAAGUUCAACGCCACAUGGCAGCUUCUCAUUGGGUCUCAAAUACAAGUGGCAGCCUAUAAAAGGCGCAUUCAAUGCACAGUCAAAAAGAAAAGUCAGAGAUUCAUCAAAAACAGAUUUUCUUUCUCUCUCCAUUCUGUUACAGAUCAAAACAGAAAAACCAGAGAAAAAUCACCAAGAACAAAAACCCUAGAAAAUUUUCCAGAAUUGAAAUCCAUCAAAAGUUCUCAGUGAUUCAUUGAAGAAUCAUCAUCAUCGAACCGAAUCCUUCACAAUUCUAGUGCGGAUCCGUCACCAAUAGCGACGAAUCCAAGCACGAUCGCGAAGGAUCCGAAAGUUUGAGAAGAAGAGGGAAAGAACCGAUUUAUUUUCGGAUCCAAGCCAGAAAAUCAAAACCGCGCCAAUAUCCAAGUUUUCCGAAGAUUCCAUUCGAAAUUUUCAGCCAAAAUUACAGGUAAAACUCAGAAUCCAUCUCUUUUUUUUCGCAAGAUAUCAACAAGCACGAAUCAGUUGUAGAUUUACCACGUUUUAAAACUUUCAUCCAACAAAACUUAAAAAAGAACCAAGAAAACUCUUUUCAAAACCGUGAACAAAAGUGUAGAUCUACAACGAUUCAAGCUUUGCAUGAAAAAACCAGUACCGGAUUCGUGUUUAAAACGAAAAAGGAUUUCCAAAAACGUAAAAAAUUUCGAAAACGGAGAAGUUUGUUCAACUACGGCGGCGGCGCCGCCACCCUUGGGUGGCCGGCCACCGCGCCGGAAGAGCAAGCCUCACCGGAGAAGAUGAAUCUUCAUCUUCCUCCUUGAAGUUUCCGGCGAGAGGGAAGAAGAGAGAAGUAGGAGCUUCUCUCACUAGGAUGAGAGAAGAGAGAGAAGGAGAGGAAAAUAAUGAGAAAAAAACCGGACCUUCCCCCCUUUAAAGCCAGUGAACCGGACCGGUUCAGGACCGGUCCAACCCCCUUUGUUCCUGGCCGUUUGAUCUAGGGUUCCAGAAUCCUAGAUCAAUCGUGUGGCUCCUGUGCAAUCUGAGUUUUGUGUAUUGGGCCUUUGGUUUGGGCUUUGAUCUUUUACGUUUUUGUUUGUUUUCCUGCUAUUUGCACCAUAUUUCUUUGCUGUUUGAACCCCUGCAUGCUUAAAUUUUUCUCCAAAAAAUCUCCAAAAAUUAUCACAUGUUUCUUGAUAUUUUCUUAGUGUUUUUAUGACAUUUUUGAACAUCAAGGAUCUACGAAAUUUUUGUAUAAUUAAUUCAUAGCAUUUUAAUUCUCUUUGAAUUAUUUGUUAUGGAUUCUUCUUCACACAUUUGUCCUUGAUGUGAGAAUAUGUAAUAAAAGCUACUUGAUGUGUUAAUAUGAGAGAUUUGUGCCUAUAAUUUCAUGUUGAUUUGCUGUUUUGAUUUGGUUCAUGAGUUCUUAAUUUUAUGAACAAUAUAUGCAUAUUUUGAAAGACAUAAAAUGCCAAGUUCAUUCUAAAAAAUAUGGCAUGAAACAAUGCUUGCAUGCUUCCAAUAAUUCCAUGCUAUAACUUGAGAUAAAGAAAACUCUUUCAAAAUUUGUUAAAGCAUGAGAAUUAGAGGCCAAGAAUGCUUUAGGUUUCAUACCUAAGUUUUUAGGGUUUAAUGUCAUUUUGUUAACUUUUUGUGCCAUUUUGCAUGCUUUUAUUUCUUAGUACUUGUUAUGUUUUUUUCUUUUCACUAACAAGUUUAUUUCCAUGUUUCAUGCAUCCCAUUUAGCAUCCCCUCCACUUUCUUUAGCCUAGCCUUUAUCUUUUGCAAGUUUUAAUUCAUUUGGUAAUGUGAUUUGUUAUCAUUGGUUUGUAGCUUGGCAAAGGGGCCAUAGAAUGUAUUUAGGCAAUUUUUGUAAUAUGGACUAUGGACACUAUGAUGCACCGACACGCACACACUCACCUUAGAUGUAUGCAUAGGAUUGUAUGGUUAAAUAAGCGUUUAGGUUUUAAACACUUAGAGAAAAUCCAUCUUUUUUUUUCAAAAAAAAUAAUUGAACUUCACUUCAAAAACUUUCCUAAUAAGUAUGAAGUCAACACUUCAUUUUUUUUCUUUCUUUUUUUUCUUAAGGAAAAUUCAAUUCAUCUUAAUCAUUUAGACUUUCUUUCUAAUCACUAAUCAAACCUCACCUUUUGCUAAAAUCUAAUGCUCAUGAAGCCUCCCAAUCUCCUUCUUCAAAACCUUUUUUCUCAAAACUUAAAAUUAAACAAUUAAAACAAAAAACAAGUCUUUUUAGCAAGAACUACGCCGGUUUUGAUCCCGUAAAACGGUACGUAGGCAAUGAGUCAAAACUCAUCCAAGCCGAAAUAAAAUCAAAGUCUUACAAUCUCUCCCCCCAUUCUUAACUAAAUAAACCUCCCAUUUUCAAAAGUAAGCAAAAAUAAGCGCGAAUAUAGACUUAGGAAAACGGCUCCUAUAGAGGACUAUAGUUACUCCGGGUGCCUAACACCUUCCCGUAGUAAAACCGACCCCCGAACUUAGAAUCUAAGGGUUUUUCUCAAUUUUGCCCUUCCCAAGAAAAAAUAGAGAAUAUCAACGGUCAAAAGGUUCAAGUCCAAUUAAUGGCUUGGCACCCAAAAACCAUGAUAACAGAAAUGGCGACUUCACUGGGGAAAUUCUUUUUAGCGGGUCGCGCCUAGUUUUCCUUAGUGUAUAUUUACGCUUUGUUUUAUUGCUUACAUAUGUGAAUACUUGUUUACUUUCAUUUGACGUGUGGGGUGAGAAUAUCAAAAGUCCUAUACCCGGGCUGAGUGAACUUAUGUUUAGGUAGAGAUAUAAUCGACAAUUCGAUCCGGGGGUUGCCUCGUGUAUUGGAUUAUGCGAUCAAUCUCACAUAGCUGAGGCAUUUUGAAGGUGAUAUUGUCGGCGUGUGUUGUCAUGCUUAGGCACUUCACUUUCAAUUGUUCGACGAAGCUAUGAACCGUAGUUACCAAACCCAUCCUAGCCUUUUUAGGACGUAGUGCGGUGGCUAAAUUGAGUGUUGUCUCAAACUUUAGUCGUCACGCGAUACUACACUCAAACUAGACCUUCUCACAAAUAAUCAUGGAACGGGUGUCGUCCUGUACUACCAUGAUAUAUGUGAGAGAGGUUGCAGUUUGGGAACUGUGUUAGAACCUUGGUUACUACUAUCCAAAGCCUUAGUUCACCGGACACCGUGUCCAUCCGUGGCCUUGUUACUUUGAAUCUCAACCCACAUUGUAACUAAACAACACAAUCAUGCAUACAUGCAUUCAUGCAUAAACAUUUUUCAUGCAUUCAUCGAAGGACUUAAACAAAUGGAAAUUUUUUGUAAAUAAUCACAGGUAUGAAGAAGACUAAGUGCUACAAGUUCAAGGAAGUGGAUUUGGUUAGUUUGAGAGAGUUGGCGCUCAAGGUCAAGAGCCAAACAGGGUUCCGACUCCGGUAUGGGGGAUUGCUUACUUUGCUCCGAACCGAUGUGGACGAGAAGCUAGUGCACACUCUAGUGCAAUUUUAUGAUCCAAGCUUCCGUUGCUUCACUUUCCCGGAUUUCCAGUUGGUUCCUACUCUCGAGGCUUACUCCAAUCUAGUGGGUUUACCUAUAGCCGAGAAGACGCCUUUCACCGGUCCCGGGACUUCUCUUACUCCUCUGGUUAUUGCUAAGGAUCUCUACCUCAAGACUUCCGACGUCUCCAACCAUCUUAUUACCAAAUCUCACAUCCGCGGGUUCACUUCAAAGUAUCUUCUUGAUCAGGCUAAUCUCGGUACUACUCGUCAGGAUACACUCGAGGCUAUUCUUGCUUUGCUUAUCUACGGGCUCAUUCUCUUCCCGAACCUCGACAAUUUCGUGGACAUGAAUGCUAUCGAGAUCUUUCAUUCCAAGAACCCGGUUCCUACUUUGCUAGCAGAUACCUACCACGCCAUUCAUGACAGGACUCUCAAGGGCCGUGGGUAUAUUCUUUGCUGCGUAUCUCUUUUGUAUAGGUGGUUUAUUUCACACCUUCCGAGUUCCUUCCAUGAUAACUCGGAAAAUUGGUCCUACUCUCAGCGGAUUAUGGCCCUCACUCCUAAUGAGGUCGUCUGGCUCACUCCUGCCGCUCAAGUGAAGGAAAUCAUUAUGGGUUGUGGAGACUUUCUCAAUGUACCUCUUCUUGGUACUCGGGGAGGAAUUAACUACAAUCCCGAGCUUGCUAUGAGACAGUUUGGUUUCCCUAUGAAGUCGAAGCCCAUCAAUCUUGCUAUAUCUCCAGAGUUCUUCUUCUAUGCGAAUGCUCCUACCGGACAAAGGAAAGCUUUCAUGGAUGCUUGGUCCAAGGUUCGAAGGAAGAGUGUGAAGCAUCUAGGUGUGAGAUCCGGUGUUGCUCAUGAGGCCUAUACUCAGUGGGUGAUAGAUCGAGCUGAGGAGAUUGGUAUGCCUUAUCCAGCUAUGAGAUACGUGUCUUCGUCUACUCCAUCUAUGCCUCUACCUCUACUCCCCGCGACUCAGGAUAUGUAUCAGGAGCAUCUAGCUAUGGAGAGUCGUGAGAAGCAAGUGUGGAAAGCUCGGUAUAAUCAAGCCGAGAAUCUAAUCAUGACUUUGGAUGGUAGAGAUGAGCAGAAGACUCAUGAGAAUUUAAUGUUGAAGAAAGAGCUAGCUAAGGCCCGGAGGGAAUUGGAAGAGAAAGAUGAGCUGCUUAUGAGGGACUCCAAGAGAGCUCGAGGACGACGAGACUUCUUUGAUAGAUACUGUGAUUCAGAUUCCGAGUCCGAUGAUCUUCCGACUACUUCUUAUGCUUGAGGGCUUCAUUUGUUUAUCUUGUUGAAAUUUCAAAGUCUUCCUUUUGAAAAUGCUAUGUAGUUUUGAUUAUUUGCAAAAUUUCUAAUUUGUUUAAAAAUCCUUCGAUGAAAAAAAUAAGUCUUUCGCAUUUGCAUUUGCAUAUCAUGCAUCAUAUGCAUCAUGCAUCGGUCACAAAGGCUUCCGAGUGCUUACCACCUCCUGGUUUCUCUGCUACAGUGUGAAAAGUGGCUCGUGCUCAGAGAAUUUACGAACCUGAUAGAAUUGAUCGAACCAGAGAAUACAGAAGAAAGAAAAGGGCUAUGGAAGAAGAGAACACACAGCUUCGUACCGAAUUGGCAUCUCUAAGGGAGGAAUUGGCCAAAGCUCAUGAUGCUAUGACUGCUCUGUUGGCUGCUCAGGAACAACCAGUUCCUGUGGUUUCUACAGCUGCAAAUGUGACUCCUACCGUAACAACUGAUCCCCGCUCUAUCAUGCCAUCCGGGUAUCCUUACGGGCUUCCACUGCACUAUACUGCUAAUACAGGGGCAGGGACCUCUGGUACUACCAACAGUGGCCCAAUCCCAGGGGCAAACUUAACUCCUGUUAGUACUGCCUUGACUCAAGCUGCAACGACUGUUACCGAGCCCAUUGUGAAUGCGGUGCCUCUAUUUGUCCAUGCUAAUGCACACCACGGGAGUAUUACCACAACCGGAACUAUGGAAGAGAGAAUGGAAGAACUUGCCAAAGAGCUCCGACGGGAAAUUAAGGCCAACAGGGGAAAUGGAGACUCCAUUAAAACCCAGGACCUCUGCUUGGUAUCGAAGGUAGAUGUUCCAAAAAAGUUCAAAGUCCCGGAGUUCGACAAGUAUAACGGGCUGACUUGUCCUCAAAAUCAUAUUGUCAAAUACGUCCGGAAAAUGGGCAACUACAAGGACAAUGAUUCCCUUAUGAUCCAUUACUUCCAAGACAGUCUGAUGGAAGAUGCUGCGGAGUGGUAUACUAGUCUGAGCAAAGAUGAUGUCCAUACUUUUGAUGAGCUGGCCACCGCUUUCAGGAGCCACUACGGGUUUAACACUCGUUUGAAGCCGAAUAGGGAGUUUCUCAGGUCCCUAUCUCAGAAAAAGGAGGAAAGUUUCCGUGAAUAUGCGCAAAGGUGGAGAGGGGCAGCUGCCCGUAUCACUCCUGCUUUAGAUGAAGAAGAAAUGACCCAGACGUUCUUAAAGACCUUGAAGAAAGAUUAUGUUGAGAGAAUGAUCAUUGCUGCCCCGAACAACUUUUCGGAGAUGGUCACCAUGGGAACCCGUCUUGAGGAAGCAGUCAGAGAUGGGAUCAUUGUGUUUGAGAAAGCUGAAUCUUCUACGAGUGCAUCGAAGAGGUAUGGUAAUGGACACCACAAGAAGAAAGAAACGGAAGUGGGAAUGGUGUCAGCUGCAGCCGGUCAAUCUAUGGCUACCGUUGCUCCUAUCAAUGCAGCUCAAAUGCCUCCGUCAUACCCAUAUAUGCCGUAUUCUCAGCAUCCGUUCUUCCCACCGUUUUAUCAUCAGUACCCUUUGCCACCGGGCCAGCCUCAAGUGCCCGUCAAUGCAAUUGCCCAACAGAUGAAACAACAGUUGCCGGUUCAACAACAACAACAACAACAGCAGCAGCAGCAGUAUACUAGGCCAACUUUUCCUCCUAUACCAAUGUUGUAUGCUGAGUUGCUUCCAACUCUACUCCAGAGAGGGCAUUGUACGACUAGACAAGGCAAGCCACCACCUGAUCCGUUGCCUCCAAGGUUCAGGUCUGAUCUCAAAUGUGACUUUCAUCAAGGUGCCUUAGGACAUGAUGUCGAGGGGUGUUAUGCUUUGAAGUAUAUUGUGAAGAAACUCAUUGAUCAAGGGAAGCUGACUUUUGAGAAUAAUGUUCCACAUGUCCUUGACAAUCCUCUUCCAAAUCAUGCCGCUGUGAAUAUGAUCGAAGUGUGUGAGGAAGCUCCUAGACUUGAUGUCCGCAAUGUUGCCACUCCCCUGGUGCCUCUGCAUAUCAAGCUAUGCAAAGCUUCUCUGUUCAGCCAUGAUCAUGACAAGUGUCUAGGAUGCCUCCGUGAUUCUUUGGGUUGCCAUGCUGUUCAAGACGACAUCCAAAGCUUGAUGAAUGAUAAUCUUCUGACUGUCAGUGAUGUUUGCGUGGUCGUGCCAGUUUUUCACGAUCCGCCUGUCAAGAGUGUACCUUUGAAGAAGAAUGCUGAGCCUUUGGUAAUAAGGUUGCCAGGACCAAUUCCUUAUGUUUCGGACAAGGCAGUGCCAUACAAAUACAAUGCUACUAUGAUAGAAAAUGGAGUAGAGGUGCCUCUAGCCUCCUUUGCCACAGUAAGUAAUAUUGCCGAAGGGACUUCUGCAGCGCUAAGAAGCGGGAAAGUCCGUCCGCCGUUAUUUCAGAAGAAGGUAGCUACGCCAAUCACUCCACCAGUUGAAGAAGCAACUCCAACCGUUGUUUCACCCAUUGCUACAGAUGUGAACCAGUCAGGUAAAUCUAUAGAGGAUUCAAAUUUAGAUGAGAUUCUGAGGAUAAUAAAAAGGAGCGACUACAAGAUCGUUGAUCAAUUGCUGCAGACUCCUUCGAAGAUAUCUGUAUUGUCAUUACUCUUGAGCUCUGAGGCUCACAGGAACACCUUGUUGAAAGUGCUGGAGCAGGCAUAUGUUGACCACGAAGUCUCGGUAGAUCGUUUCGGUGGCAUAGUGGGAAAUAUUACUGCUUGUAACAACCUCUGGUUUAGUGAAGAAGAGUUGCCGGAAGUGGGAAGGAGUCACAAUCUGGCUUUGCAUAUCUCGGUGAACUGUAAAUCAGACAUGAUAUCAAAUGUGUUGGUGGAUACCGGUUCCUCUCUCAAUGUAAUGCCCAAGACAACUCUAGAUCAGUUGAGCUACCGCGGGACCCCGUUGAGGAGAAGUACUUUCUUGGUCAAAGCUUUUGAUGGAUCUCGAAAGAAUGUGCUGGGAGAGAUAGACUUGCCGAUAACCAUUGGCCCUGAGAAUUUCUUGGUUACCUUCCAAGUGAUGGACAUUAAUGCAUCCUACAGUUGCCUGCUGGGAAGACCGUGGAUACACGAUGCAGGUGCGGUUACUUCCACCUUACAUCAGAAGUUGAAAUUUGUGAAGAAUGGAAAACUCGUUACAAUCCAUGGUGAAGAAGCAUACUUAGUCAGCCAGUUGUCUUCUUUUUCUUGUGUUGAAGCAGGGUCUGCUGAAGGGACUGCUUUCCAAGGGUUGACCAUUGAAGGUGCAGAGCCUAAGGAAGCUGGGGCUGCUAUGGCUUCAUUGAAAGAUGCUCAGAGAGCCAUCCAAGAAGGUCAGACUGCCGGCUGGGGCAAGAUGAUACAGCUCUGUGAGAACAAGCGAAAGGAAGGUCUCGGGUUCUCCCCGUCAUCAAGGGUUUCCUCGGGAGUCUUCCACAGUGCAGGGUUUGUUAAUGCUAUCUCUGAAGAAGCCACUGGAUCUGGUCUCAGGCCUGUAUUUGUUACACCAGGAGGCAUGGCGACAAAUUGGGAUGCCAUUGACAUUCCUUCAAUCAUGCAUGUUUCUGAGUAAUGUGUCUUGUUGCUUUAGUGCUUUGUUUUCAAAAAUAACAAUCCUCUCGCUCUGCCCAAAGCGAGAGUGAUAUUUUCUGUAAGGGCAUGUUUGUUUCGGCAUUGCCGUUGAUUAAUAAAAUUUUGUCGUUUCUUCCACGACUACUUUUUUUAGUGCUUUUUCCCUUGGAAACAAUGGUAAUGCCAGAAAAAACCAAAACGUCUGUAUUUUCUUAUUAAUUUCAAAAAUCUGCAUGAAAAAAAAAACUCUUUCUAAAAAUCAUCCAAUCAUUAUAUGCAGGUUGAACCAUAAUAAACCCGUUGAACACAGUAAUCCUACGGUUCCUCCAAGUUUUGAUUUCCCUGUAUAUGAAGCCGAAGAUGAGGAAGGUGAUGACAUACCGUAUGAGAUCACUCGGUUACUUGAGCAAGAAAAGAAAGCCAUUCAGCCUCACCAAGAAGAGAUUGAGCUUAUCAACAUAGGUACCGAGGAAAACAAGCGAGAAAUCAAGAUUGGUGCUACUCUAGAGGAAGGGGUUAAACAGAAGAUCAUCCAACUCCUCCGGGAAUAUCCGGAUAUUUUUGCAUGGUCCUAUGAAGAUAUGCCAGGUCUAGACCCUAUGAUCGUGGAGCAUCGGAUCCCUACCAAGCCUGAAUGUCCUCCCGUCAGGCAGAAAUUGAGGAGGACUCAUCCUGACAUGGCCCUCAAGAUCAAGAAUGAAGUUCAAAAGCAGAUCGAUGCGGGUUUCCUCAUGACAGUUGAGUAUCCCGAAUGGGUUGCCAAUAUUGUGCCUGUGCCGAAGAAGGAUGGUAAAGUUCGGAUGUGUGUUGAUUUCAGGGACUUGAACAAAGCCAGUCCAAAAGACAACUUUCCGUUACCCCAUAUUGACGUGCUUGUUGAUAAUACUGCUCAAUCUAAGGUGUUCUCCUUCAUGGACGGUUUUUCCGGUUAUAAUCAGAUCAAAAUGUCUCCUGAAGAUAGAGAAAAGACAUCUUUUAUCACUCCAUGGGGUACUUUCUGUUACAAAGUGAUGCCGUUCGGCCUAAUCAAUGCCGGUGCUACCUACCAAAGGGGAAUGACCACUCUGUUUCAUGACAUGAUUCACAAAGAAGUUGAGGUAUAUGUGGAUGACAUGAUUGUGAAGUCAGCAGAUGAGGAGCAGCAUGUUGAAUAUUUAACAAAGAUGUUUGAAAGGUUGAGAAAAUACAAGCUGCGAUUGAAUCCCAACAAAUGUACAUUCGGUGUCAGGUCCGGAAAGUUAUUAGGCUUCAUUGUCAGCCAAAAGGGCAUUGAAGUCGAUCCUGAUAAAGUCCGGGCCAUCCGAGAAAUGCCAGCUCCACAGACAGAGAAGCAAGUCAGAGGUUUCUUGGGACGUUUGAAUUACAUCUCCCGAUUCAUAUCUCACAUGACUGCAACCUGCGGGCCGAUCUUCAAGCUACUUAGAAAGAACCAGCCUGUUGUAUGGAAUGAUGAAUGCCAAGAAGCUUUUGAUAGCAUCAAGAAUUACCUGCUGGAACCACCUAUCCUUGUCCCACCCGUGGAAGGAAGGCCUUUGAUUAUGUAUUUGGCAGUAUUUGAUGAAUCCAUGGGAUGUGUACUUGGUCAACAAGAUGAAACCGGAAAGAAAGAGCAUGCUAUCUACUAUCUAAGCAAGAAGUUCACCGAUUGUGAAACUCGAUAUACAAUGCUUGAAAAGACUUGUUGUGCUCUAGCUUGGGCUGCCAAACGCCUGCGCCAUUAUUUGGUGAAUCAUACAACUUGGUUGAUAUCCAGAAUGGAUCCGAUAAAGUAUAUCUUUGAGAAAGCGGCCGUUACUGGGAAGAUCGCACGCUGGCAGAUGCUUUUGUCUGAAUAUGAUAUUGUGUUCAAAACUCAAAAGGCAAUCAAAGGCAGCAUUCUUGCCGAUCACCUUGCUUAUCAACCUCUUGAUGAUUACCAACCAAUUGAAUUUGAUUUCCCUGAUGAAGAGAUCAUGUAUUUGAAAUCCAAAGACUGCGACGAACCGUUGAUUAAUGAAGGUCCAGAUCCCAAUAGCAAGUGGGGUUUAGUCUUUGAUGGUGCUGUUAAUGCUUAUGGUAAAGGAAUUGGGGCAGUCAUUGUAUCCCCGCAAGGGCAUCACAUUCCCUUUACCGCUCGAAUUCUGUUCGAAUGUACCAACAACAUGGCUGAGUAUGAAGCAUGUAUCUUCGGGAUCGAGGAAGCAAUUGACAUGAGAAUCAAACACCUCGACAUCUAUGGAGAUUCUGCGCUCGUCAUCAAUCAGAUAAAGGGGGAAUGGGAGACCCACCAUGCUAAGUUGAUUCCUUAUCGUGAUUAUGCGAGACGUCUUCUGACAUAUUUUACAAAGGUUGAGCUGCAUCAUAUUCCUCGUGAUGAGAACCAAAUGGCUGAUGCUCUUGCUACUCUAUCUUCCAUGUUCCGAGUAAACCAGUGGAAUGAUGUGCCAUUAAUCAAAGUGCAACGCCUUGAAAGACCUUCACAUGUGUUUGCUAUUGGGGAUGUGAUCGAUCAAGCUGGUGAAAAUGUGGUUGACUAUAGACCUUGGUACUACGACAUCAAACAGUUCUUGCCGAGCCGUGAGUAUCCGCCGAGUGCUUCCAAACAAGACAAGAAGACCUUGAGAAGAUUGGCCGGUAGAUUCCUGUUAGAUGGAGAUAUUCUGUACAAGAGAAACUAUGACAUGGUAUUGUUAAGAUGUGUUGAUGAACAUGAGGCAGAGCAGUUAAUGCAUGAUGUACAUGACGGUACCUUCGGGACCCAUGCUACAGGGCAUACUAUGUCAAGAAAGUUGCUACGGGCAGGUUACUACUGGAUGACUAUGGAGCAUGAUUGCUACCAGUACGCCAGAAAAUGCCACAAAUGUCAAAUCUAUGCUGAUAAGAUUCAUGUGCCUCCGCAUGCUCUCAGUGUUAUGUCAUCCCCAUGGCCGUUCUCAAUGUGGGGCAUCGACAUGAUUGGAAGAAUUGAACCGAAAGCUUCAAAUGGUCAUCGUUUCAUCUUAGUGGCAAUUGACUACUUUACCAAAUGGGUUGAAGCAGCAUCUUAUACCAAUGUGACCAAGCAAGUGGUAGCUAAGUUCAUCAAGAACAACAUCAUCUGUCGAUAUGGUGUUCCCAGCAAGAUUAUUACCGACAAUGGUACCAACCUGAACAACAAUGUGGUGCAAGCUCUUUGUGAAGAAUUCAAAAUUGAGCAUCAUAACUCUUCUCCUUAUAGACCUCAGAUGAAUGGUGCAGUUGAGGCCGCCAAUAAGAAUAUCAAGAGAAUUGUCCAGAAGAUGGUAACCACUUACAAGGACUGGCAUGAGAUGUUACCCUAUGCUCUGCAUGGCUACCGCACUACCGUGCGCAGUUCAACCGGGGCAACCCCUUUCUCUCUUGUAUAUGGUAUGGAAGCGGUUCUUCCUUUGGAAGUGGAGAUCCCAUCUCUCCGUGUGAUCAUGGAAGCAAAGUUAUCUGAGGCUGAAUGGUGCCAAAGCCGGUAUGAUCAGUUGAAUUUGAUUGAGGAAAAACGUAUGGAUGCCAUGGCUCGUGGACAGUCAUAUCAAGCAAGAAUGAAGACUGCCUUUGACAAGAAAGUCCAUCCUCGAGAAUUCAAGGUAGGGGAACUUGUAUUGAAAAGGAGGGUAAGCCAGCAACCCGACCCAAGGGGCAAGUGGACGCCUAACUAUGAAGGUCCUUAUGUUGUCAAGAAGGCCUUCUCCGGUGGUGCUUUAAUCCUUACACACAUGGAUGGUGUAGAGCUUCCAAAUCCAGUGAAUGCCGAUAUAGUCAAGAAAUACUUUGCCUAGAAAUGUGAAAAGAACAGCGUGGUAGGUCGAAAACCCGAAAGGGCGGCCUAGGCAAAAAUGCGCUUCCCGGUGGAUCGAAAACCCGAAAGGGCGGUCCAGGCAAAAAUAAGGGACAAAAAAAACAAAUAUGAAAAGCUCGCUGAGAUUGUACGCAACUCAGGCAAGAAUGAGCGUCUCGAUGAGCCGAAAACCCGGAAGGGCGGUUCAUGCAAAAAUGAGAUUGAAACAAAAGGCAAGUAACUAUAUCUGGCCAACCACCGUCCCCCUUGGGGCAUCUGCAGCUGUUAAUGCCUAUCUUCAUCAAAAGCUUCUGUACUUGUGAAUUCAAAGUUUCUAAGAACUGUAGUGGUUACCGUGUUCAAUGUACCACCAACCAAUAAAAAUUACCAUUUUCCAAGCUUUGUGAAUCCGUGGAGUCAUGCCUUCGGCUGACCACCACUCUUAUACAUCAAAUUGAGCUUGUGCUGUUGUUUGAAACUCUAUUUUUCUUCUACUUUCAAAGCUGUAUACAAAACAUUUUCUUUCUAUUUUGAUAAUGACAAUGCUUGAAACAAACAUUUUUGAAAAUUGAAAACUUUUUGUGUGUUUUGAAAAGCAAGCCUGAGCAACAGGGUACGUUCAAAUGAAACAUGCAUGAGCGAGAGUAUGUUAAUGUCUAUUUCAAUAUAUGUUACAAGCAGGUUCUCCUCCAAGAUAAUCUGUGGUCAAUGGCAAGAAUGAAAAAACAGAAUGAAAAUGCAUGAAAAUGAAAAGGCUCGCUAAGUUGAAAACCCGGAAGGGCGGCUUAGGCAAAAAUGAGCACCCCGCUGGAUUGACAACCCGAAAGGGCAGUUCAGGCAAAAAUGGGGCAUUGAAAAGAAUCUAUUUCCCCGGUGGAUCGAAAACCCGAAAGGGCGAUCCAGGCAAAAAUGGGAUGCGAAAAAUGAGAAUGAGAAAAUAGCAUGCAAAAAGCAUUGACCACAGAUGCGAUGUCUACAACGUACCCAGCACUGAAAUGCCCAGCAUAACGGCGUUUUCCCCAGUAAAGCCUUCCGAGAUUCAAUUUCCAGCAAGUUGUAUAGCUACCUGCCCUCAGCCAUGGUUCCGAUACGUCUCCCAACGACGUCAUCUCCAAAGAGGAUUUCCAAGAAUGUGUAAUAUAGCACGAGCCACUACGUGCCCAAUACUCUGAUGUCUUGUCUUCCCCGUGAAGUCGUGCCUACAAAAUGCCAACAGUCAUGCAUUACAAGCAUUCAUACAUGCAUAAUCAUGCAUAUUACGUGCCCAUGCAUUUAAUGGAACUGUUAUAUCAUCCAUGCAUAUUGCAUUUCCAAUGUCAACAUCAGUCUCAAUUCAAUACUCAUGUCAGGUUCUCUGUCAAAGCCUUGUGAUCCAAUAAUAUCAAUCAAUUUCUACCUUUCAAACCAAAUCGACGCCAAGUCAAUCUCAAUCUAUGUUUCGUCAAACAAAACUCAAUCCCCAGUGAAUAUGUUUCUGUUUGGUCAAGUGGCUAGUUCAAGUCCAAGAACAGCUUGUACCUAUCAAUUUGCUUAUGUUAUCGGUCGAGUGCCCAGCUCAAUCCAAGAGCAGCUCGUACCUGUCAAUAUGUUUCCGUUUGGUCAAGUGGCUAGCUCAAUCCAAGAGCAGCUUGUACCUGUCUAUCUGUUUCUGUCCGGUGGAGUAACCAGUUCGCAUCCAAGAACAAGCUCACACCUGUUUAUUUGCCUUUGCUUUCGGUCGAGUGACCAGUUCGAAUCCAUAAGAACAACUCGUACUUGUCAAUUUCCCCAGUCGGGUCACCAGUUCGAAUCCAUAAGAACAACUCGCACUUUCCAAUAUCCCCAAGUGAGUUACCAGUUCGAAUCCAUAAGAACAACUCAUGUUUGUCCAGUAACCUCUAUCCCCUGUGAAGUGACCAGUUCGAAUCCAUAAGAACAACUCGCAGUUGUCUGUUUGUUUCAUCCCCGGUCAAGUGGCUAGUUUGAAUCCAAGAACAGCUUGUACCUGUCCAACUUGUUUCUAGUUUCCCGUUACUCUGCUAUUCACUAUCUUUGUCAAUGUCUACCAAUCCCGCAGUGGAUACGACAUAUUUUGUUAAUUCCAAUCCCCCUGAGGUCUUGCAUUCAUAAUCCAAAUGAUGCAUGACAUGCAUAUUAUUUGAAAAUGGGUAGGCGUAUUUUUACGUCCAAACACAGUGCAAAUGCUAAUAUUUAAGUAUCUUCGUCCUGUCAAGCCAAAGACUCCGUCUCUUGACUCUCCAGACAAAGAAACUUAAAUAGGGGCAGCUGUUAUACCCUGUUUUUGGACCUAAAAAUACUGGGCCCAAUUUCAUUUUCAAACUUUGUCAAUUAUCAAAUUUCAACUGCACAGUUCAAAUUGUCUCUGCCUCGCAGUAUUUUCAAUCACAAUUUUACCUAUGUUUUUCUUGCAUAAAACCUUUCGAAAUGUCUUUACUUAUCUUGUAAGUCAUUCAAAAGUGUCUCUGAAUCAUUACAUUGCUUUUUCUACAGUUUAUUUCAAAAUUUGCAAAAAAAGUCAUACAGAAGGGUAUUUUGGUCAUUUCCUGCAGUGGGACCCAUUUUCAUCCUUGUGACUGUCUCUGAGUCUUUUCAAAUUCAUUUUUAACUUUCCAUCAGUAAACCUUGCUAAUUUCAUUUCAAACUUGCAUCUGAGUCAGUGUCGAGUCAUUUUGGCUCUGUUUAGGUCAUUUUUAGCCCUAGGGGCAUUUUGGUCAUUUCACAUAAAAUUUUGGCAUGGGGAGGUUACUUUGAAGUACCUCAUUUAAGCCAUUGGUUCGUUUUAGUCCGUUUUGUCAGUUUUAUUUUUUGUUUCACUUUACAUUGGGUCAAAAUUACAAAUUUUAAUUCAUUUUAUUUUUACUUUGCAUUUUAGUCCCUUAAUUUUGUUAAAAUUGCAUUUAAGUCCAAAUUGUCCAAUUUUUAUAUUUUGAAUUCUGUUUUUAAAAAAUUGCAGUCCAGUCCCAUAUUUUACAAAAUUGCAGGGAGGUCCUCAAAGUCAAAUUACAAGGCAGCGCCCAAGUCACAAGUUCAACGCCACAUGGCAGCUUCUCAUUGGGUCUCAAAUACAAGUGGCAGCCUAUAAAAGGCGCAUUCAAUGCACAGUCAAAAAGAAAAGUCAGAGAUUCAUCAAAAACAGAUUUUCUUUCUCUCUCCAUUCUGUUACAGAUCAAAACAGAAAAACCAGAGAAAAAUCACCAAGAACAAAAACCCUAGAGAAUUUUCCAGAAUUGAAAUCCAUCAAAAGUUCUCAGUGAUUCAUUGAAGAAUCAUCAUCAUCGAACCGAAUCCUUCACAAUUCUAGUGCGGAUCCGUCACCAAUAGCGACGAAUCCAAGCACGAUCGCGAAGGAUCCGAAAGUUUGAGAAGAAGAGGGAAAGAACCGAUUUAUUUUCGGAUCCAAGCCAGAAAAUCAAAACCGCGCCAAUAUCCAAGUUUUCCGAAGAUUCCAUUCGAAAUUUUCAGCCAAAAUUACAGGUAAAACUCAGAAUCCAUCUCUUUUUUUUCGCAAGAUAUCAACAAGCACGAAUCAGUUGUAGAUUUACCACGUUUUAAAACUUUCAUCCAACAAAACUUAAAAAAGAACCAAGAAAACUCUUUUCAAAACCGUGAACAAAAGUGUAGAUCUACAACGAUUCAAGCUUUGCAUGAAAAAACCAGUACCGGAUUCGUGUUUAAAACGAAAAAGGAUUUCCAAAAACGUAAAAAAUUUCGAAAACGGAGAAGUUUGUUCAACUACGGCGGCGGCGCCGCCACCCUUGGGUGGCCGGCCACCGCGCCGGAAGAGCAAGCCUCACCGGAGAAGAUGAAUCUUCAUCUUCCUCCUUGAAGUUUCCGGCGAGAGGGAAGAAGAGAGAAGUAGGAGCUUCUCUCACUAGGAUGAGAGAAGAGAGAGAAGGAGAGGAAAAUAAUGAGAAAAAAACCGGACCUUCCCCCCUUUAAAGCCAGUGAACCGGACCGGUUCAGGACCGGUCCAACCCCCUUUGUUCCUGGCCGUUUGAUCUAGGGUUCCAGAAUCCUAGAUCAAUCGUGUGGCUCCUGUGCAAUCUGAGUUUUGUGUAUUGGGCCUUUGGUUUGGGCUUUGAUCUUUUACGUUUUUGUUUGUUUUCCUGCUAUUUGCACCAUAUUUCUUUGCUGUUUGAACCCCUGCAUGCUUAAAUUUUUCUCCAAAAAAUCUCCAAAAAUUAUCACAUGUUUCUUGAUAUUUUCUUAGUGUUUUUAUGACAUUUUUGAACAUCAAGGAUCUACGAAAUUUUUGUAUAAUUAAUUCAUAGCAUUUUAAUUCUCUUUGAAUUAUUUGUUAUGGAUUCUUCUUCACACAUUUGUCCUUGAUGUGAGAAUAUGUAAUAAAAGCUACUUGAUGUGUUAAUAUGAGAGAUUUGUGCCUAUAAUUUCAUGUUGAUUUGCUGUUUUGAUUUGGUUCAUGAGUUCUUAAUUUUAUGAACAAUAUAUGCAUAUUUUGAAAGACAUAAAAUGCCAAGUUCAUUCUAAAAAAUAUGGCAUGAAACAAUGCUUGCAUGCUUCCAAUAAUUCCAUGCUAUAACUUGAGAUAAAGAAAACUCUUUCAAAAUUUGUUAAAGCAUGAGAAUUAGAGGCCAAGAAUGCUUUAGGUUUCAUACCUAAGUUUUUAGGGUUUAAUGUCAUUUUGUUAACUUUUUGUGCCAUUUUGCAUGCUUUUAUUUCUUAGUACUUGUUAUGUUUUUUUCUUUUCACUAACAAGUUUAUUUCCAUGUUUCAUGCAUCCCAUUUAGCAUCCCCUCCACUUUCUUUAGCCUAGCCUUUAUCUUUUGCAAGUUUUAAUUCAUUUGGUAAUGUGAUUUGUUAUCAUUGGUUUGUAGCUUGGCAAAGGGGCCAUAGAAUGUAUUUAGGCAAUUUUUGUAAUAUGGACUAUGGACACUAUGAUGCACCGACACGCACACACUCACCUUAGAUGUAUGCAUAGGAUUGUAUGGUUAAAUAAGCGUUUAGGUUUUAAACACUUAGAGAAAAUCCAUCUUUUUUUUUCAAAAAAAAUAAUUGAACUUCACUUCAAAAACUUUCCUAAUAAGUAUGAAGUCAACACUUCAUUUUUUUUCUUUCUUUUUUUUCUUAAGGAAAAUUCAAUUCAUCUUAAUCAUUUAGACUUUCUUUCUAAUCACUAAUCAAACCUCACCUUUUGCUAAAAUCUAAUGCUCAUGAAGCCUCCCAAUCUCCUUCUUCAAAACCUUUUUUCUCAAAACUUAAAAUUAAACAAUUAAAACAAAAAACAAGUCUUUUUAGCAAGAACUACGCCGGUUUUGAUCCCGUAAAACGGUACGUAGGCAAUGAGUCAAAACUCAUCCAAGCCGAAAUAAAAUCAAAGUCUUACAAUCUCUCCCCCCAUUCUUAACUAAAUAAACCUCCCAUUUUCAAAAGUAAGCAAAAAUAAGCGCGAAUAUAGACUUAGGAAAACGGCUCCUAUAGAGGACUAUAGUUACUCCGGGUGCCUAACACCUUCCCGUAGUAAAACCGACCCCCGAACUUAGAAUCUAAGGGUUUUUCUCAAUUUUGCCCUUCCCAAGAAAAAAUAGAGAAUAUCAACGGUCAAAAGGUUCAAGUCCAAUUAAUGGCUUGGCACCCAAAAACCAUGAUAACAAUAUGCAUGACAUGAGGUUCGAAUUAGAGGAGCUUUUGUCAAGGUGUAGAAAAUGGCAUUUUUCAGCUUCCCGUUUGAAGAGAAAAUUGUAAACUCUAUUUAUAAUUGUUGCAUAUUUCAUUUUGAACUUUUGUAUUAUGCUUAAAAUAUGCUUAAAAUUAUCAUCCUGUAUUAAAUGAUUAUAACAAAGGCUUACAAUCCUCAAUAGACAUGGAAUAAGCAAGAAUAUUUUUAUCAUCUAUCAUACAUCCAUAUUUCCUCGAACAUUACUUCUCUUUCAAUUUUGAACAUCAUUACAAAAUUUUCCAAAAUAAAGGCCAACAAGAAUGGGAGGAAAUCCAGGUAGAACACCAACAUCUUAAUCUAUAUUUCCUCGAACAUUGACUUCUCUUUCAAUUUUCAAUGUUAUGAACAAGAUCAUAUGACCCAAAAUAGUGAGUAGAACUAUUUGGCCUUGCAUUGCUUGAUAUUGCCCACCCCACUCCGAAACCCGGACAUACAUCUGUAUAGGCAUGAACAUAUAGUACCCUCUUCAAAGCAUGUGGUGCUCAUUCUCGUUCCUACGUGGAAUAAAAAAAAAUAUAGAGAAAAAAAUAUAUUUAAGUCAAUUCUUUAAUAAAGAAUUGUAUCACUAAUCUAUACUUAUAUACUAUUUACAAAGAGAAUGCAUAGUUUUAAGCUGAGAUUUUCGCUUCCAAUUAUAUACCCGUUAAUAAAUUUGACUAUAAGAAUGUUAUUUAGUUUGUCAUUGCAAAAGAUAAGAAUUUAUAUUAUAUUUGUCUUUGCAUAAGAUACUUCCUUAUUAAGUAAUUUAGAAUAUUAAAUGAUUCAUAGUCACAACAGUAAUACGUCAUAAAAUACCAAUUGCAAAGAAUGUAGAUAUGCAUGCAACAUUCAUAUAUUGGUCAAAAGUUGCCACUUACUUCCACAUAGAACAUAACCACGAAAAUUUACAAGGAAUUAGAGUAAAAAGGAGCCGCUAGCUAUAUAAGAAGGAACCGAAAAAAUCUCAAUCCCCACAUCACACAAAUCAGCAACCUAACUUAGUUCAUGGCAGAGGCAGAUUGGUCUCAACUUCCAAAGGAUCUUCUCAAUCUGAUAUCACAACAACUCGACAGUGAAGUCGAUCUCAUUCAUUUUCGAUCUGUUUAUUCCAAUUGGCACUCUUCUUCAACUCCAAAUCAUUGUAACGUUUUAUGAUGAUUUGGAAUAGAAGAAGAGUGUCAAUUGAAACGAACAGAUCGAAAACGAAUGAGAUCGAGUUCAUUGUCGAGUCGUUGUGAUAUCAGAUUGAGAAGAUCCUUUGGAAGCUGAGACCAAUCUGCCUCUGCCACGAAUUGAGUUAGGUUGCUGAUUUGUGUAAUGUGGGGAUUGAGCUUUUUUUUGGUUCCUUCUUAUAUAGAUAAACAGCGGCUCCUUUUUACUCGAAUUCCUAGGAAAUUUUUGUGGUUUUGUUCUACAUGGAAGCAAGUGGCACAUUUUGACCAAUAUAUGAAUGCCACAUAUCAACAGUUUUUGCAACUGGUCUUUUACGAUGUAUUAAUGUUGUGACUAUGAAUCAUAUAUUCUAAAUUACUUAAUAAGGAAGUAUCUUUUGCAAUGAAAAAUAUAAUAUAAAUUCUUAUCUUUUGCAAUGACAUAAACUAAAUAACAUUCUUAUAGUCAAAUUUAUUAACGGGUAUAUAAUUUGUCAGCUUAAAACUAUGCAUUCUCUUUAUGAAAGAAUUGACUUAAAUAUAUUUUUUCUCCAUAUUGUAUUUUCCACUUAGGCUUCAAUCUGUCGCUUUGACUAGUAAAGAUAAGUGUCAGUUUAUUGAUCAUACUUUUUAAGAAUUUCACAAUUCUACCAUAUGUCUCAAAGCAUUGACGAUGUUGGUCAUGUUCUACCUGGAUUUCCUCCCAUUCUAGCUUGUUAACCUUUAUUUUGAAAAUUUAUUGACGAUGUUCAUGCUGAAAAUUCUGCUCAUAAUUGUAUGAUAGCCAAUGAAAAUAUUCAUGCUUCUUCCAAGUCUAUGAGGAUUGUAAGCAUGUUUUAUAAGCAUUUAAUCGUCCAUUGUUCUUCAUCAUAUUUAGCAGAGUUUGAGCAAUCAAUACAGUUUGAAGGAAGAUUUUGAAGAUGCAAAUGGAAGCAACGAUUUCAGGAUGUGUCUAGUGACAGAUUGAAGCUAAUCUGAGAAUCAAGGUGAAAGCAAACACUUUUAUAUAUAAAAGGGAUGAAGAAGCCAAUAAUGAAAUUGUUGUGGUUUGGUUAAAAGAUCAAUGCAGGUAAUGUUUUGGUUAAACACUUUUCUGAAAAUGGUAAUAGUUAGCAAAAUGAAUUUUUAAGUGAAUCAGUGCUUUAAAUUUGUUAAAAUUCUUUAAAAUUGUGAAAUUGCACUUUUAUAUGAUUAGUGAUGAAUCAUAUCUCUAUUAUUAUAAGCUUGAAUUGGAUUCGUUGUUUAUGUUAAUUUAGAUACGUACUUCCUUAUAUUUUAUCUUCGUUGUUUAUUAUAAGCUUGAUUCCUAGUAUUUGUUGGUCAAUGUUUUAUCUUAGGUGAGUGACACGCUUAAAGUAUAAAAUCAUGUAAUUGCAUCAGGUAAAUAGGUAAAGAUUAUAUUAGUUGCAUGUUAACAUUAGCAUGAAAAUUGUGAUAUUAUUUUAGCAGAGUAUGCUUUUCUUUUCAAGGUUUAUAAAUUCAUUUAUAUUUGUCCUUUAUGGCUGCGUUUGUUUCAGAUUCAUUUAUACUACUGCACGCCAUAUUUGACAAUUUGGAAUUAGAAUAAUAAAUUUUGAUAUAUGACAUCGAAAAAAUGGAGGGCUCUUACUAUUAUAUAUCAAUUAUAAAUUCACUACUAAAAAAACAAAAUUGGCGAGGGAAAUUUACAAAUGGAACACAUGAAAUCAUUCUCUAACUUUCUCAUUAAAGUUUGCGAUCAAAAAAUUUAUGAGAAAUUUUAUUUUUUCCCUCACUAAUUUCCCUCCCUGAUUUUGUUUUUCCUAAUAGUUCAAUAUGUGAAACUUUGAUUGUUACGUCUUCUUUUGUUUUUCCCUUCAGUUUUUAUUAAAAAAAGUUUAUUUUGUCUUUUCUUUCAUAUUUGGUACUUAGGAAAUGGUAAGGAAGGUUCACUUGCAAUGAUCUUUCAAUUAUUUGCUCCAAGACUCAAUUUUUUAAUUAUUUAUUCCUGAAAUUAAAUAACUUGCAAUUGAAGUAAAAUAGUUAUAAAAAGGAAAUAAUAUUAAAUAAAACGGAAUCAAAUCUAAAUAAAACGGACUCAAAUAUUACAUUAAAAACACUAAUUAUUGACUCAUCAAUUGUCUACUAGAUUCAGGUUGAUAAGGGCCAUAUGAGGGUCCAACUGGUACAUGAAUUUCUUAAAUGCAACUCUAGGCUUUCGACUAAUGUUGAUUUGAGAACAUUAAAUUUUACCACAGUGGCAAAAAAAAUGUCAAAACUUUAACAAUGCUGUGUGAGCAAUUUGCUCAUUGGAAUUGUCCUUGGCAAUGAAAUGUUUCCAGCAAACACGGUUUCUAGUGACUCACUGGCACGCCGGUAAAAAAAAUCAGUACAGACUACACAUAUAUAAUAAUUUAAGCAGAAAAUUUUGUUUUGUUUUAGAAAUAUAUAAACUAAAGCACACCAUUAUUUUGACAAUUCGGAAUUAGAAUAAUAAAUUUGUUGUCUUUAUUAACCACUUCACCAACCAAAUUUCUAUUAUAUUUUCUGGGUUGUCCAAUUCUGAUGCUGUCCUUUAUAUUUUCUUUUCAUGUGAUUCCAAAAAUAAUUUUUAUAUUUUUUUCUGUUAAAAAAUUGUUUUAAGUAUAUGAAGAAUUUAAUUCACGAAUUUAAAGAAUAUGCACAAAAAACCACCUCACCCACAUUUUUUUAAAUGAUUUUUAAGUUAAAUAAUGAUAUAUGACAUAGAAAAAAUGGAGGUCUCUUACCACUAUAUAUCUACUCUUAAGUUGAAUAUGUGAAACUUUGAAGUUGUUACACGUCUUCUUUUGUUUUUCACUUGAAUUUUUAUUAAAGAAAGUUUAUUUUGUCUUUUCUUUCCUAUUUGGUACUAUAAUUAUAUACAUCAAUAUAAACAUACUUAUUAACAUAAAUGAGAUUAUAGAAUAAACAAAUAAGGAAUUCCCGUGAACUUAACUCAGUUGGUAGGGAUAUUGCAUAUUAUAUGCAGAGGCCGGGGUUCGAACCCGGACACUCCACUUCUCCAUAAUUAAAUUGUGUGAGCUCUAACCACUAGGCUACUUGACCAAAAAAAAAAAAAAGAAUAAACAAAUAAGGAUAUCUAAUUCAUAAAUAAUCAUUCUACUAUCUCAUAUUUAUUCUGUUUCAAAUAUACCAUUCAUAUGACAUGAUAGUUAUGCUUGCACAAUUGGCAAGUAAUCAUAAAAAUGGUCUAAUUAUUCAUGUUAUCUCGAUAAUCUAACAUAAUCAUAAUUGAUCCCCAAAUGUGGGUUCUAAGCUAAUUAAAGUAACUCUCCUUGGCAUUAGUCCCGAAAUUGCAAGCAGCUUAUCCACAAUUUGCAGCUUUUGCUAGCUCCAAAACUCCAUAAUCCAUUUUCCAAAAUAGCUUAUGUCUUGGCUUAUAGGUCUUGCUCUUUCCGAAACAACUCAACUCAUUUGCGACAUAGUCUUACUUCAUCAACCAGCAUAUACAAAAAAAUUCAUUCCAGUCCCUGAACCCGAAGUUCGUCGUUUGGCUAUUUAAGCACUUACAAAACAGCUUAAUUACCAUUUAAUCCCCUUUACCAUGAUUAGACCAGCUUAUUCUUUUUCCAUUGCUCAUAUACCAAUUCAACAUAUCCCUCCUAAACUGUUCAUCACAAGAUAAUACCUGACACAACUUAAAUUCCAAUUUAAGCUAUUAUCCAAAGGGUUUAACUAGGAACUUAUGACUUUUUUCAUAUCAAAUUCGACCCAAACUUUAACACAGAUGUUCCAACAUGUAUAGUAAGCCCUAUGAUCCACUUAUACAGCAUUUUAAAUUCACAACUUAGUCAUUUAAGGCAUUUUGCUCAAUAGUUAACAAUACAUAUAGAUAUAAAAUCUAUUAAUUUUUAAAAAAAAAGGUUAAAAUGUAAUGUUGUCAAUAAAAUAUAGCAUAUUUGAGAAAUAUGCUAUAACCAUGGCUCUCUUUUUUUCUUCUACUAAAUCAGUUGCUACAAUCAGUAAUGAUUUUGAUUUAAAUAUUAAAAUACAAACUCUAAUCAUCAACAGGGCCGUUCCUAUAGAAUAGAGGCUCGGCUCUAACAUUAAAAAUAAACCUCUUAUAAAAUAAAAACACAAUUUUUUAAAAGAGUAGCCUCUAUUCAUACUUAAAAUAAGAUAUUAAAAAAAAUUAAAAUUAAUUAAAGUAGCUAAAAGUAGAUCCUAAAAAUAUUAAAUUAAUAAAAGAAGCAAAAUAGAGGUUGAACCAUGGAAUCAGUGCUUUAAAAUUGUUAAAUUUUGAAAUUGCACUUUUAUAUGAUGAGUGAUGACCUUACCUUUCUUAUUUGUUAAAUUUCAAAUGUUGUACUUUAAUGAAAUUAUAAAUUUAAUAGUAAGUGAUGACCUUACCUUUCGGAAAUGUUAGGAGAGAUGGAAAAUAUAUCAUCAGUUUUUCUGGUGGGAACUUCCAUAGAAGAGUUGUCAUUUUCAUCUUUGAGUCGUUCAUAUAGUUUCGUAAAUAUCGGAGCUUGUUUACUAACUUAAUUCCUUGGUAAUUUGUGCUAUGUCCAUAGUAAAAGAAUUAUGCUCUCCUUUAUUUUGAUUAUGUAGCUACUAUUUAAUAUAAUAUCUUUAAAUGUUUGAAAGCCUUAAAUUUUAAUUUUGUAUGCUUUUAAAGAGUGUUUGAUGUUAGGUAUUUAGCAAACGUUCGAUAAUUUGGCUUGUAGAAUUGAUGGCUAAAAACCAAUUUUGGUAUGUUUUCAAUAAAAUCUUGUAGAUUUCUAUAAAGGUUUUUAAUGAGGUGUUUCCUUCCAUGUUCCAUAAUUGAAAAUCAUGUUAAGGCAUUGAAAAGUGACAACAAGUCAUCAAGACAUAACCCUACAAACAUUUUGUCCUGAUAUUCGUUAGGAAAUUCAUGUUUUGUAUUGUUACUCACUAGAAUCAAUAUGAAGUCAAUUAUUGUUUUUAUAAUCACGAUUUGAGUUUGAAUAAUUCAAUCAUUCAAUCUGUGUUUAUUAAGGAAAGUUAUGGUGCUCCUAGUGGGCAAAGAUGGAGUAAAUGUUGCAAAGAGCAUUGAAUUCAACAUUGGAGGCAGUCUUGCAUAGAUUGUUGAAUAUUAGCAAUGAUGUGACUGGUGCUGGUAUGUUUAAUAAUCUGUACCAUUUGCUACUUUGAUAUUUAUGUUAGACUAGAUUCAUGAUUCUUGAUAUUUUCAAAAAUUAUUUUUACUUUUUUUUUUUUGUCUUCUAGAAUUUUUGACGUAAGAGAAUAAUUAAGCCGAAGAAUUUAAUAGAUAUGCAUUUAUAUUUUGAUUUAUAAGGUAAGACACAUUAUUAUAUGGGAAAUGCUAACUGGUGCCUCUGGGAUACGGGUUAAGGAUAUGAAAAAGGAAUUAUAUAGUAAUUAAUGUAUUGAAAUUGUGUAAUUAAUUUAUAAUAAAGUCAAAAACAAUUUUCUUUUAUGGUAAUAAUUCCCUUUUAUGGUAUCCUUAAACAGUGACCCGAAGGCACAGGUUAGUAGGACCCUUAUUAUAUUUAGACUUAAUACAUGCUUUGGUCCCUUAACUUAUUUUCGAAUUUCAUUUUGGUCCCCUAACUAUAAAGUGUCUCAAUUUGGUCCCUUAUGUCUUUUGUCGUUAUAUCUUUUGGUCCCAUCCGUUGCAUUUUAAUUGUUUGAUCUAUUUAAAAAUAGAAACGUUGGAUCAUGUAGGUUUAUUGUAGCCAACGGUGAAUGAUUAACACCUGAUUUUUUUUAAGCAAAAAAUAUAUAAAAAAAAAUCAUAUUUUUUAUAAAAUCAUUUUCAAAAUUGAAAAAAUUUAUUUUUUUUAUGAAAUUUUUAAAAAAAGGUCAGAUUUUUUUUUUUCGAAAAAAAAAGGUUUUUUACUACAAAAUACCUGAAAAUAUUUUAAUUUUAAAAAAUCUGGAAAAAAAAUUUACAAUUUUUUUAAUUUUUGAAAUAUAUAAAAACUUCUGGAAAAGAUUUAAAAAAAUUCAUAUUUUUUCUACAAAAUUCUGUAUAAUAUAAAAAAAAUUCAGAUUUUUAUAAAAUAUGAAGAAAAAAAAUUAUUCCUGACCUAUUUUUUUUAUAUUUCGUAAAAAAAUUAUUUUUUUUCAAAUUUUGAAAAAUAUAUAAAAAAAAUCAGGUUUUUAUAAAAUAUGAAAAAAAAAAAUUAUUCCUGAAUUUUGAAAAAGAUUUAAAAAGUAAUUAUAAUAUUUUCCAGAUUUUUAAAAAUUAAAAUAUUUUCCAGAAUUUGGUAGGAAAAAAUUUAAAAAAAAAAAAAAUUUCGAAAAAAAAAUCUGACCUUUUUUAAAAUUUUCGUAAAAAAAUUAAUUUUUUUUUAUUUUGAAAAUGAUUUUAUAAAUAUUCUGAAAAAAAAUCUAGAAUAUUUUUUUCUUCAUAUUUUAUAAAAAAUAUGAUUUUUUUAAUAUAUUUUUGGCUUCCAAAAAAUCAGGUGUUAAUCAUUCACCGUAGGCUACAAUAAACCUACAUGAUCCAACGGUUUCUAUUUGAUAAAUAGAUCAAACAGUUAAAAUGUAACGGAUGGGACCAAAAGAGGUAACGGCAAAAGACAUUAGGGAUCAAAUUGAGACACUUUAUAGUUAGGGGACCAAAAUGAAAUCCGAAAAUAAGUUAACGGAUCAAAGGCAUGUAUUAAGUUUUAUAUUUAUUAUACGAAUUUGUGUGUUAAAAUAAUACAGCUUAUUUAAAUCUUUAGUUGAAUUGUGAAACGUUGAAGUUGAUAAGAUAUGAAAUGUGACAGAAGUUUCACUCCCAAUGGUCUUUGGUCAAUGGAUCCUCUCUUAAGUGCAACCGAGUUGCCUUUUUUAGUUUGAAGCCCUAUAUAUCCACAUUCUUAAUUCUCAUACACUUAUUACUUCCUUUCUAUUCUCUAUUCUCAUAUGGCUAUGCUUCAAUCAUCCGUCUCUCCCCCUUCUUCCUUCUCUUAUGGAUUCACCUAUGACGUGUUCCUUAGUUUUAGAGGUAUUGACACUCGUUAUGGUUUUACUGGAAAUCUCUACAGUGAUCUUUGUAAGAAGGGAAUUCACACAUUCUUUGAUGAUAGAGAGCUUCAAGGAGGUGAUGAAAUAACAUCAUCACUUUUCAAGGUCAUUGAAGAAUCUAGGAUUUUCAUUCCUGUCUUGUCUAUCAAUUAUGCUUCUUCUUCAUUUUGCUUGGACGAACUUGUCCACAUCAUUCAUUGCUUCAAGGAAAAUCGGCGCCUUGUUUUGCCAAUUUUCUAUGAUGUGGAACCUUCUCAUGUGCGACAUCACAAGGGCAGUUAUGGUAAAGCACUGGAUGAUCAUAUAGAGAGGUUCCAAAAUAACAAGCAUAGCAUGGAUAGGUUGCAGAAAUGGAAGAUGGCUCUUACUCAAACUGCUAACUUCUCUGGCCACCAAAUCAAUCCUAGGUACCGUAGUUCACUCAUGUUUUACAUUCUUACAUAUGUCAUACUUCUUUAAUAUUCUAUUUUCUAACUAUUUCAUCUCACUAUUUAAAUUGAAAAUAUUAUUUUUAUUCUUAACAAGUUUAAUUACUUGUAUGUCAAAACAAUAUUUGAAUUGUAUUUAUACAACUAUUAUUAAUAAAUUGAUAUGAUUGUGAAUUUGUGAUGCAUUUACUCAAAUUAUUUGAUUGGGUAGGAAUGGCUAUGAAUGCGAGUUUAUCGAGAAGAUAGUCAAAUAUAUAUCUAACAAGAUCAAUCAUGUUCCUUUACAUGUUGCCGAUUACCCUGUUGGUGUUGAAUCUAGGGUCCUAAAAGUAAAUUCACUUAUGGAUGUUGGAUCUAAUGGUGAAGCACAGAUGAUAGGGAUCUACGGGAAUCGUGGAAUGGGAAAGACAACACUUGCAAGGGCAGUUUAUAAUUUUAUAGCCGAUCAAUUUGAUGGUUUGUGUUUUCUUCACGAUGUAAGGGAAAAUUCAGCUAAAUAUGGUUUAGAGCAUCUAUAGGUAAAGAUCCUUUCCAAAUUAGUUGAAUUGGAAGUUAAGUUAGGAGAUGUCAACGAGGGAAUUCCAGUCUUAAAGCAAAGGCUUCACCGAAAGAAAGUUCUAUUGAUUCUCGAUGAUGUUCACAAACUAAAGCAAUUGCGGGUUUUGGCUGGAGGACUUGAUUGGUUUGGUCCUGGAAGUAAAGUGAUCAUUACCACUCGAAACAAACAAUUGCUAGCAAGUCAUGGGAUUGAAAGAGCAUAUGAAAUAGAUAAGUUAAAUGAGAACGAAGCUCUUGAAUUGAUGAGGUGGAACGCUUUCAAAUAUAACAUGGUCGAUUCAAAUUUCGACCGUGUUUUGCGGUGUGCAGUAACUUUUUCUUUUGGCAUUCCAUUGGUUUUAGAAGUAGUGGGUUCAAACUUGUUUGGGAAGAAUAUUGAAGAAUGGAAAUCUGCAUUAAAUCAGGAAGAAAGGAUUCCCAUUAAAAAUAUCAUAGAGAUACUUAAAAUAAGCUUUGAUACUUUGGAUGAUGUUUUGGAUGAUGCUUUGGAUGAUGCUUUGGAUUAUUUUGAUGAUGAUGAUGAGGAUGAAAGGAUUCCCAUUAAAAAUAUCACAGAGAUACUUAAAAUAAGCUUUGAUGCUUUGGAUGAUGCUUUGGAUGAUGGUUUGGAUGCUUUGGAUGAUGCUUUGGAUGAUGGUUUGGAUGCUUUGGAAGACAAAUGUCUUAUUAUGUGAAUGAUGAAUUCAAUGACCACAUGUCAACAGAGAUAAUGUAAAUAUGUAAUUUUAAUUAGGGUUAAUAGUGUUUUUCACCCCUGUAAUAUAUGCCAUUUUCGGUUUUCGUCCGUAUAAAAUUUUCGGUUUGAUUUGCACCCUCGUAAAAAAUAAAAAUACCGGAAAACACCCUUAAUAGGCCAUUCAAAAACCAAAAUUUCUUAAAAAAAAAUCUGAAAAUGGCCUAUUAGAGGUGUUUUCUGUAAAAAUAAUAAUUAUACGAGGGUGCAAAUCAAAUCGAAAAUAGUUCAGCAACAAAGAUCUACUUUGGAACAACUCGAACGUAUAAGUUCUUCGGUGACUUUUCGAGAUCAAAGAUGAGCUUAUCACCUUCUUCCAUCACACGUUCUCUGCAGAAAUUGAACUAUUGUCCACCCAAGUAUUUUUCAUAGCUUUCUCUUUCGGUGGUAAUGAGUAUAUUACAUGAACUCGAUCACCCUAAAUUCGAGAAAGAAACCAAAAAAUAUAAAUAAAUCAAAAUGUACACUAAUAAGUAACAUUGAUAAAUCAUAAAGGAAAUUACAACAAAUCUUAACUAACUCAUCUAACCUUUGCAUCACAAAUAAUGAGCUUCAUAUGUUGAUUCACAUUACUACCCGUCACAACCCAAAAAUCCAGCACUCCAAAUCCUAUUUUCCAAAUCUCCAAAUCAUUUUUGAGAUCCUUAAUGUAGUCAUAAUCCCUUGACAUUGAAAGUCCUAUAUAGAAAUACAAUAAUACAUCAUUUCAUUUUAUUUCCUUUGUUCAUUCUGAUAUUGAAAGAAACUAACAUAUUUCUAUGUGAUCAAUUUUAUAUCAUUAAAUCAACCUGAUCUUAAAUGCACAAAUUUUGGUAUCAUUAACUUUCUGGAUCUCACUGAUAUGACCAAAACAAAUUUUAUAACAAUCAACUUUCGUACGGCUCAAUGAUAUAGGAAAGAAUAAACCAAAUAUAAAAAAUGUUACAACUUUAGGAUUACUCACAAAAACUAAAAUAACCCACAUGCGUCAAAACCUUACCAUAACAAAGGAAGAUUUUUCUAGAGCCAUGCAACAUAAUAAUUUCUUGUACAUAAUUCACUAACAAUUGAAAGAAAAAAAAACCUUAAAAAACUAAAACAGUGUCGAAAAAUGAACCCCUCAAGCCAUAAAAAUCAGUCAAUUCAAGUCAUGCAUGGUCUCAGAACCAUGAAAAAAGGAAGAAAAUGAUCUCUUAUGAAGAAGAAAGUGAAACAGUGUGAUGACAGUCCGUCAUUCGCUAUUUUGAGAGUCUUUUUAUAUGUAUUUUGAUCACAAAGUGGAGUUCACAAGGCAACUUAUGCUGCAAAAGAGUAGAAAACUGAAGAAAAUACAAAGAAGAGAAUCGUGUCACGAUUUGGUAAAAACGUGACACGAUUUUAGAAGACCAAAAUCAAGCUUCGACAUUGAAGAAAUCGUGUCACGAUGGCAUAAUCGUGUCACGAUCUGAGGAAACCCUAAUUCAGCGAUUUACGAUUCAAGGAGAAUCGUGCCACGAUUUACUUAAAUCGUGGCACGAUUUUAGGCGGAAUUCUGUGCCUAUUUAAGCUGAAGUCUAUUCCAAGGACAAGGGUUACGAUUUGGAGAGAGAAAAGUGCGAUUUUGAGACUACAAGACGGCGAGAAGGGCGAUUUCUUCACUCUUUUACCAGUUCAUGUAUGCAUUGAUUCCUCUAAUGAUUAUGUUAUUUGUAAACACCAUUAUGAGUAGCUAAAUCCAUUAGAGGUUAGGUCUGAGAUGAUUCUUUGUAACCCUAAUUGUAACAUGUUGCUGUGAAACUCUAUUAUUUGUGAAUGACAAUCUAGUUUUUAUUCAAUUCAAUUAUUCUUAAUGCUUUUUAUAUCCUGAUCAAAUAUAAAUAUGAUUUAGUGAGAACGAAUGACUACUGACCAUAGCUUUCGACUUAGACCUAAUUGAUUUGUUCUAAUAAACAUGGUUAGUCUAGGAAUGAAUAAUCCUUUAUUAGUGAUAUUAGGUUAACGUGCUUAAACCUUCAAAGGUUAUUAGACCACCUAAGGAAUUAGGGGCUGUAACCCUAGAAGAGGGUCCUAACUCAAGGGAUUGAUUAAGACUAUUUUGUUAACUAUCGUAAAACUAGUGACUCUUUCACAAGAAUAGGUGCAGUAUACCAAUUAGGGGUAACAUAAAUGAUUCGAAAGACCUAAACUCAUUCUCUAUCUUAUUCUUUAAACCAAUCUUUAUUUUCUGUUAUUGCUUAUGCAAACAAAUCAAUCAACUGUCUAGCGGCAAAUUAAAAGAACUUUUAUACAUCUUAAGUUACAACGUAAUUGAAUUAUUGAGAUUAAAAUCAGUCCUUGUGGAACGAUAUUUUUACUACUUCGAUAGUAUUUGGUACACUUGCCAAAAAUCUAUCACAGUGUUCCCAACUGAACUUAGAUACUGUUUGGCAAAGGUUUUUUACUGUCUAAAAAUUACUUCAAAACAAAGUUAAAAUAAAGGCCUUUAAGAAAGAAGCUAAAGUUGUUUGUUUUUUUAGUUUUAAAGUUACUUUUAAGUUAAAUGUUGUUUGGCAAAAUAUUGUGCAAACUUUGAAUUUUUUUUAUGGUGUCCGGGGUUCGAACCCCGGACUUGACAUAUAUUUAUGAAUUGUUCCUAUCAUCUGAGCUAAACUUACGAGCACAAAACUUUGAAUUUAUUAUUAAUUAAAAUAAUAAAUAAAAAAUGUUUAAAAUAUUUUCCGAAGGCUAAAAAUGUUAAAAAAUAAAAGAUAUUUUUUCACAAAGACUAUAUUUACGCAAUAACGUUUAUUUUUGUGUAACAUGAAUACAAAUCUGUAUCAUCAUAUAAAUGACUUGUUAAUUUUUAUUUUUUUUUGUGGUGGCCGGAGUGUGAACCCCGGACCUUGCAUAUAUUAUGCAUUGUCCCUAUCAACUGAGCCAAGCUCACUAGGACACUUGUUAAAUAUUUUAAUAGGAUAAAUAAUUUAAGGAGUCUGAAAUAAUAACAUAAAUAAUAUCAAAAUAGUUGGUUUUUUCUAUUUCAAUUAUACUCUAUAACUAAUUUAAUUUCGUUAUAAGAAUACCAUAUUUUUGGUGUCUUUCAAAAAGAUAAGAAUUUAUAUUAUAUGAUAUUAUAUUUGUUACAUUGUUGGUGUUAUGGAAACAUAUAUGUUUGUUUUUUUGAAUAAGAAAAAGAUAUGCAUAGUUGUUAAUUACAAUAUAAAGGUGCAAUAUAUAUAUAUAUAUAUAUAUAUAUAUAUAUAUAUAUAUAUAUAUAUAUAUAUAAGUAUUUUUUUUCGGCAUUUAGACCUUUUUUGAAGAAAAGACAUCUACAAUUUUACUUUUAAUUAAAAUCAAAAUGUUAUAAAAAUAAUCAUACGCAUUAUGCAACACAAAAAAAAAUUAUACGCAUUAGGGUAACAAAAAAACAGUCACACAUAAAGUAUUACUCUAAACACUAAUGUGUGUGUAUAUUUGCGAGGUUGAAAAAAGAAAAUAAAAACAUUUGGUAUCAUUAAAUGACAGCGUGAAUAAAAGUAUUUGUGAGGUUGUGAUGAUAAAAUUAUAUUGAAAUUAAAUAUAUCAGUGAUAAAAAGAUAAUAAUAUUAAAUUGAACCUUCUUAAAAAAAAUUAAAUGGAACGAUUCCAAAAAAAAAUAAAAAUGGAAGAAACAAACAUAUUGUAAUAUAAUAUUAAAAAUAAGAGAAAGGGUUUCCAACGUGAAUUGAAGAGAGAUGCUUGUGAAAUAAAUUGUCGAGAAGUAGUUUUUGAAGUAGCAUUCAACAACUUUUGGCCAAAGUUCAAUCCAUUCAAUUGUAUGCAUUAAGAAAAGUACCUUUUUAGUAAGUUGGCCUAACUUCUCCUUAAAAAUGUAGAGAAUUUGAAGAAAAAAAACCGGGUCAAAUGGUAUCUUAAUCUCGGAAGAAAAAAUUGGAAAAGACUUAAAAAAAAAAUGAAAAAUAGUUAAAAAAUUUUAAAAAUAUAAAAAUUGGAUAAUAGUUAAAAAAAAUUAUAUGCAUUAGCGUAACAAAAAAACAGACAGACGGACAUCAAAUAUUACACUAAAUGUUAAUGUGUGUAUGUAUAUUUGUGAGGUUGAAGAAAGGAAAUAAAAAUAUUUAGUAUCAUUAAAUGACAGCGUGAAUAAAAAUAUUUGUAAGAUUGUGAUAAUUAAGCGAUAUUGAAAUUAAAUAUAUAAGUGAUAAAAAGACAAUAAAAUUUCUUUGAAAAAAGAUAAUAAAAUUAAAUGGAACCUCUUUAAAAAAUUAAAUGGAACGGUUUAAAAAAAUAAAAUAAAAUAAAGUUAAAUGGAAGGAAAAAAACAUAUUGAAAUAUAAUAUUAAAAAAUAAAAGAAAAUGUUCCAAGUUGAAAAGAGGUGCUUAUGAAAUAAAUUGUCGAGAAGUAAUUUUUUAAAGUAACAUUCAAUAACUUUUGGCCAAAGCUCAUUCCAUUCAAUUUUAUGCGUUCAAAAAAAUUACUUUUUUUAGUAAGUACUUAAUUCAUACUGUGUUUGGCCUAACUUAUCCUUAAAAAUGUAGAGAAGUUGGAAAAAACCGAGUCAAACGAUACCUUAAUCUCCCACAACGACAAUGUAGAAGCAACUGAAUUUGGGAGAAAAAAUUGAAAAAUAGUUAAAAGUUAUUAAAAAUAUAAAAAUUAUAAAAUAAUUAAAAAAAUUGGUGAGGGGCAAAAUGGUAAAAUGCACCCAUAAAAAGGUGAGGUCCCACCAAAUAGGAAAUUACAAAAAUGCCCAUCUUAGGGGCAAAAUGGUAAAAUUACAGGGAAUUAUCUUUUAUAUAUAAUAAUUAGGUAGAUUUUCUGUUAUUGUCCAUUAAUUUAUGUUGUUGUUCAUUUCUGAUGUUGUCUUUUAUAUUUUCUUUUCAUAAGAUCCAAAAAGAAUUAUUACAUUUCUUUUCUCUUAAGAAAAUGUUAAGUUGAUGAAGAAUUUAAUUAAAGAAUAUGCACAAAAAUCCACCUCACCCCCAUUUUUUAAAAUGUUUUUUUUAAGUUAACUAAUGUUUUUUUUAUUAGGGAAAAGUUAACUAAUGAUAUAUGACAUCGAAAAAAUGGAGGUCUCUUACUAUUAUAUAUCAACUCUAAAUUCACUAAUAAAACAACAAUUUUUAUUAACCACUUCCCCAACCAAUUUUCUAUUAUAUUUUCUGUUAUUCUCCAUUAGUUUAUGUUGUUUUCCAUUUCUGAUGCUGUCUUUUAUAUUUUCUUUUCACAAGAUCCAAAAAGAAUUUUUACAUUUCUUUUCUCUUAAGAAAAUGUUAAGUUGAUGAAGAAUUUAAUUAAAGAAUAUGCACAAAAAUCCACCUCACCCCCAUUUUUUAAAAUGUUUUUUUUUUAGGGAAAAGUUAACUAAUGAUAUAUGAUAUCGAAAAAAUGGAGGGCUCUUACUAUUAUAUAUCAACUCUAAAUUCGAAAAUAAAAAAACAAAAUUGGCGAGGGAAAUUUACAAAGGGAACAUAUGAAAUUUCUCUCUAACUUUCUCACUAAAGUUUACGACCAAUAAAUUUGUGAGAAAUUUUAUUUUUUCCCUCAUUAAUUUCGCUCCUUGAUUUUGCUUUUCCUAAUAGUUCAAUCUGUGAAACUUUGAUUGUUACACGUCUUCUUUUGUUUUUCACUUCAGUUUUUUUAUUAAAGAAAGUUUAUUUUGUCUUUUCUUUCAUAUUUGGUACUUAGGAAAUGGUAAGGAAGGUUCACUUACAAUGAUCUUUGAUCAAUAAGUCCUUUUAAGUGCAACCCUGUUGCCAUUUUUUCACUUCUUAAUUUAUUGAGACCCUAUAUAUACACUCAUCUACGUUUUAACCUCUCAUACUCUUCUUACUUCCUUUUUGUUCUCUACUCUCAUGGCUCUGCUUCAAUCAUCCGUCCCCCCCUCUUCUUCUUUCUCCUAUGGAUUCACCUAUGACGUGUUCCUUAGUUUUAGAGGUAGUGACACUCGCUAUGGUUUUACCGAAAAUCUCUAUAGAGCUCUUUGUCACAAGGGAAUCCACACCUUCAUUGAUGACAGGGAGCUUCAAGGAGGAGAUGAAAUAACACCAUCACUUUUCAAGGCCAUUGAAGAGUCUAGGAUUUUCAUUCCUGUCUUGUCUAUCAAUUAUGCUUCUUCUUCAUUUUGCUUGGACGAACUUGUCCACAUCAUUUAUGCUUCGAGGAAAAUAGACGCCUAGUUUUGCCAAUUUUCUAUGAUGUGGAACCUUCUCACGUGCGACAUCACAAGGGCAGUUAUGGUAAAGCACUGGAUGAUCAUAUAAAGAAGUUCCAAAAUAACAAGGAUAACAUGGAGAGGUUGCAGAAAUGGAAGAUGGCUCUUACUCAAACAUCUAACUUUUCU